Molecule: long non-coding RNA, 58029 nt
Filed under: Zostera marina
Lineage: Eukaryota; Viridiplantae; Streptophyta; Magnoliopsida; Alismatales; Zosteraceae
Description: long non-coding RNA (ZMAR_LNC003722)
Source: RNAcentral
GAUCAGUAAGGUCUCUAGUGAACUCAUCUCUCCAAAUCAAACAGCUUUUAUUCAAGGGAGGCUCAUCUCGGAUAAUACCAUUCUAACGGAUGAGAUGGUUCAUGGCUUUGGGAGAAAGAGAACUCCCAAGAGGUGUUGCUUGAGUAUAGAUCUUAAAAAAGCUUUUGACACAGUAUGUUGGGAGGCUAUAAUCGUCACCCUUGAAGCGUAUGGAUUUUCUCCUAUAUUCUGCAAAAUGAUUUGGAAUUGCAUAUCCUUUGCGUCAUUCUCGGUACUGGUGGAAGGGACUCCAACACUUCCCUUCAAAAGCCAGAGAGGGAUUAGGCAGGGUGAUCCUCUAUCUUCUAUUCUAUUUGACAUGGUUAUGGAUGUUCUAAGUAGAUUGAUACAGAGUGGAGUAAAGAACAAAAGAAUAGACAUUUAUCAGGUGAAUGGUGCUACUUUUAUAUCUCACCUCAUGUAUGUGGAUGAUAUCCUCAUCUUUUCAAAGGCAAACCCGAAAUCGCUUAAUGCAAUUAAGGCGGUGCUUGAGAAAUUCUCAUUGUUCUCAAGAUUAGAAGUAAAUGCGAGCAAGAGCUCCUCCACCUUCUCAAAAGUAUGUGCAGAAGACCAAUCUUUGCAUGAUAUCUUAGGAUAUACUGUUAAAAAUUUACCUAUAACAUAUCUAGGAUUACCAAUCACGAGAAAGAAAAGUCAUUUGGACAGUGCUAGAAAUUAAUCCAGUCAAUAGAGGCGCUCUUAGCAAGAUGGAGUGGAAAAUGUCUUUCCUAUGAAGGGAGAAUACAACUAGUUAACGGAUAAUAGCUGGAAAGUAUACUUAUUGGGCGCAAGGUAUGAUUAUCCCUGAUUCUGUGGCUAAGAAGGUGAGAAGGAUAGCAUAUAGAUUUAUAUGGGACGGAAGGAAAGGGAUCCCGUGGGCCCAAAUGAUCCUUCCCAAGGCGGAAGGGGGUCUAGGAGUUAGAGACCUAUCUAUUAUCACCACUGCAACCAAUAUUAAAAGAGCUUCAAAGUACUGGGAUAAAAGUGUCUCUAUUUUGGUAAAAUGGAUCCAAAAUAGGUAUAUUAAAGGAAAGGCGCUUAAUGAUAUACAAAUCAGGCCUACUGUGGAUUCGCAUUUCUGGAAAGUUUUUAUUUCAGAAAGGAAUCUAGUGGAUAAAUGUUUGGAUUGUAGGGCCAAUAAUACGAUUGUGUGGAGAUCUGAUACUCCGAUAAAUAAGUUGGGGGGAAUGGUGGAAAGUAUAAGAGAUAGAAAGCAUAAAGACAUGUUAGCUGAGGGAAUUUAGUCGAAGAUGCCGACAAAAUUCUCUAUUCUCUUGUGGAGGGUGAAAUGGGAUCACCUAAACACGUUCAGGAAGUUGAGAAGUUGGAGGGUACAAAUACCUCCUGUUUGCUUACUAUGCAAUCUGGAAGAUGAAACUAGGAAUCAUUUUUUCUUCAACUGUUCUUAUUCCAGAUCUCUUUUAAUUCCGUUGGCGGAGCACCUGAAUUUCACUUUCUGGAAAAUAAUGAAUAUUCCAGUUCCCACCCAAUCCAGUCUAGAUAUUAAAUUGGGGGAUCUGACGGAGGCAGCGCAAAAAAAUACGCACCACUCUCCCCCUUAGGAGUUACUAUCGAAUGCUAUUGGGUGUUUGUCGUGGCAUAUAUGAAUGCAAAGAAACAAAAGAUAUAGACAGCACGUGAAUAGGCCUCUUGAGGUAGUCUUUAAGGAGGUCAUUAAAGACAUCAGUCUCAUUUGAUUCACUGUAUUACAAGAAAAGUUGUUAUCACCCUUUGGAGACAUCUAUGAUGGAAGUAUGAGAGACCAACUUUCUGAGACAGCGUAUCUAGUUACUGUAUAACUAGACUACAUAGCUAAUGGGAGAGUUUCAAUGGGCUUUUGUUCAUUUCUUGCAUAGUUUAAAAAGCUACAAAGCGCUCAGCUUUGCCAAGGAGCGCUUUUUCAGCUUUGAGCGCUUUAGCGCACUGAAAGCUGAAAAAGCGAUAAUGGCAUUUUGGUAAAUAAAUGUAAUUUUUUAGAAAAUUGCAUAUAUACCCCUUUUUAUAUAUAUAUAUUUUUUAAACCUGUAAAUAUAUGAUAAAACAUAAAAUAUAUAUAAACCUGUAAAUAUAUGAUAAAAUAUAAAAUAUAUAUAAACCUGUAAAUAUUCAAGACAUCAUCCAAAAAAAAAAUUGAGGAUGGCCGGUUUGCCGGAUUCCGGCCAUCUUUUUUCCCCUUUUCAGACGGUCCGAAGGUAGAGAAAUUGAUGGAAAAGUUGAGGACAUUCAUACCACUAGUAGGCAUGAAGAUCAGAGGAGAAAAACGGCCGAAGAAAGGAAGCUCUGGCGAGGUCAGGCGGCGGCUCUAGGGUUUUGGUAGAAAAAAAGUGAGUGAUAAAAAGAAAUUAGGGUUUUAUUAGAAGAGUAUUGGAUUUAUAUAGUUAGAUAGAAAUGGAGGGGUAGGAAGGGAAAUUAAAACCCGACCUGACCCGAAAAUCCGGCCAGAAAAAGCGAUUGGGAAAGCACUUUCCCGCUUAAAACUAAAAAGCGUCGCUUUUUAAUCUAUGAUUUCUUGUGCUUCUGUUUUAUUUCUAUACUUUUUUUUUUGUAAAUUGAGCAUUGCCCUUAUUUUUUAAAAUAAAAAAUUUAAUUGCUUCAAAAAAAAAAUACAAACAAAGUUCUAUUAAUAGUCAUAUCAUAUGUAAACAUAAUAUUUAAACAGGACUAGCUUCUACUAAAAUUAAAGAAAAUGACAUAAUAGAUCAUAACAAUCAAUGCAUAAUCUCAAGAUUGGGAAAAUAGCAAAAAGAUGGAUAUGGGACAUGGACGGUCAGAAUGUAAUUAUCUUAUUUUUAUUAUCUCAUAGGAAGUGUACUCUAUUUAAACAUAUAGAAAGUUCAUGUAAAUAAAAUAUAGAGUUUCAGUGAUUGCAGGAGUAGCUGGACGUCGCUGUAGGAGAAGAUGGUGGUCUAGGAUUUUUUGUUUGUACAGCGGAAGGAUUUUAUAUCCAAUCCAUUUUAUUUCUUAAAAUAAAACACUAUUUGCCAGCACAUUCUUCCUUAGUUGUAUGAUGAGGGUGACUUGCUCACUCUCACUCUAAGAUGUUUUCUUUUCCUCAUUUCAUCAAAAGUCCCUUCAUUAAUUAUGAUUCUAUUUAUACAAGUUCCUACGGGCCAUGGGCCGUGCCGUGCCCGACGAGGUUGUGGACUGGACCCAAAUGGGCUCAGUCCACUAAAGAUGGGAUAAUCACUGUGUAUCCAGACAAAUGUGCACAAUAUGUGUCUAUUUGCAUCUUUUACAACCAUGACAUCUAUACCCUAGUAUGCCAAUGUACAGAUGGCUUGCACCACACGUCAGGAUAUUUUAAACCUUGUUAUCAGCCAAUAUUCUAGCUACCAGAAGCAAAGCUUUCAGAAACCUUCAAAUGGACACAUCAAGUAGGCUGGAUGGAGGGAAGGGACUCAUAAGACGUUCAAGACAUGGAUGGUCCCAUAAUUAUUGGUGAAUUUCCAGUCACCCAAGAAGGUCGCACAUUUAGAUUACAUUUGAAGAAUAGUUAACAAGCUUUUAAAAAAUGUAUUUAAUGUGAAUGGAAUUACCUGAGCAAAACCACGUAAACUAUGGUGAUGAGAAGUCAAUAAUGGAAUUAUAGGUGGCAGUAGGUCAUUCAAAUGAGAUAACUGCAUUGAGACCUCACUGGCAUGGAGUAUUAAAUUGGCAGAUAUGAAAACAUAGGAAGACAGAGCCUGCAAUCACUAACAAAAUAUCGUAAACAAAUUCAAUAAAUAAAAAUGACAAUAAAAAAACAUACCUGAGGGCGCAUAUUAUAAUCACGCAGUAUGGGAACUAAUUGCUUCUGUAUCUGUAAUUUGAAAGAAAAGAAUUUUUGUAUGAAACUAAAUUUAUAAUAGACUUAAGAUGGCUUUUAAACCAGGGAGUUGGUUACUAUUACUAUCCGAGAAAGGACUUCAUAGUUCAUAUCAUUGGUUCUUUUGUUUGAAAUACAAUAUUUUUUUUGAUGAAUUAAAAUUUUCAUUACUGAAACUGAAAGUAGAGUAGGGCAAUGCCCAAGAUUACAAAUGUAGGGAAAUGCAAAUACAUAAGAUAUAAAUAUAUAAAUAAAAAUAUGUAAAAGCAUUGUCGCUCUCUUAUACAACUGUGACCAUGACUAACUAGCUAGAGAGUAAAGAGGCGCCUGGUGUAUUGGUAGUUAAAGUAAAGAUGUUACAUUGUCUCCUCCUCCAGCCCACAUAGAGUUCAAAUCUUGUACGAUACCCUUAGGCCUUAGUCUUUCAGAGUGUUUGGAAGGAUCUGUUUGAAGAGUCCUAUAGUUUUUUUUUUUGAGAAAUUAAAGCUUUCAUUACUGAAAAAGGAGGUUAGGCAUAGUCCAAGAUUACAGAUAUAGGGAAAUGCAAGUACAGUAAAUGUAAAAACAUUAAAUGUAAAACAUUGUCUAUCUCUUAUGCAGUUGUGGCCCUGACUAACUAGCCAAAGACUGAAGCCUUAAGAGGUUGGACUCCCAUGAGUGUAUAGCUUGUAUUUCAAUCUGUAAAAGAUUGUGCUUCUUAUAGGAUGUAGAUUCAUAUGCAAUGCUCACAUCCUUUAUAAUUUUUCUGCUGACAAUUUCUAGGGGCCUUAGAGUGUGUUGUUUUAAUCUUCUAUUCCUUUCACACCAUAUUUUUUUUUUUUUUUUUUUUUUUUGAAGCAAUUAAAUUUCAUUAGAAUAAGGCUAAUGCCAAGUUUACAAAAUAGGGAAUAGGAAUAAAAUAGAAGUAAAAAAGAAAUGAGCAAAAAUGCAAAAUGCUCAUUGACUCUCUCCCAUUAGCUAUGUAGUCUAGUUAUACAGUAACUAGAUACGCUGCCUCAGAAGGUUGGUCUCCCAUACUUCCAUCAUAGAUAUCUCCAAAGGGUGACAACAGCUCUUCUUGUAAUACACUGAAUCAAAGGAGAGACUGAUGUCUUUAAUGACCUCCUUAAGGACUACCUCAGGAGGUCUACUAAUGUGCUGNNNNNNNNNNNNNNNNNNNNNNNNNNNNNNNNNNNNNNNNNNNNNNNNNNNNNNNNNNNNNNNNNNNNNNNNNNNNNNNNNNNNNNNNNNNNNNNNNNNNNNNNNNNNNNNNNNNNNNNNNNNNNNNNNNNNNNNNNNNNNNNNNNNNNNNNNNNNNNNNNNNNNNNNNNNNNNNNNNNNNNNNNNNNNNNNNNNNNNNNNNNNNNNNNNNNNNNNNNNNNNNNNNNNNNNNNNNNNNNNNNNNNNNNNNNNNNNNNNNNNNNNNNNUAUCAUUAAACGCCUUUCCUUUAAUAUACCUAUCUUGGAUCCAUUUUACCAGAAUAGAAUCGCUCUUAUCCCAGUACUUUGAAGCUCUUUUAAUAUUGGUUGCAGUGGUGAUAAUAGGAAGGUCUCUAACCCCUAGACCCCCUUCCGACUUGGGAAGGAUCAUUUGGGCCCACGGGAUCCCUUUCCUUCCAUCCCAUAUAAAUCUAUAAGCCAACCUUCUCACCUUCUUAGCCACAGAAUCAGGGAUAGUCAUACCUUGCGCCCAAUAAGUAUACUUUCCGGCUAUAAUCCAGUUAACUAAUUGUAUUCUACUUUCACACCAUAUAUGUCAGGAAAGAGAUGCUAGCAUAGUCCAGUGUACCCCCCAACAACUGGACUUGUGGGUGAAUUUUUGUAUUGUUUCCAUAAUAUCCCCUAUCCUAAUAUCUAUUGCGGGAGGUGGGGGAUUUUGCCAACUAAGUGUCCAAACAGCAUUGUUAAGACAGCUAGUGGACUCUAGCAAUAGAGAGAUCUAGUGUAAUGAUAGUUAAAGUAUAGAUGUUGUGAUGUUUCUUCCUCACUUCCACAUAGUGGGCAGGACGUAUUUAUGUUGAGUCCCCAGCUUUGUAGUCUAGCUAAUGUAUUCAGACUCUUGAACUUAAUUCUCCAUAACAACAUGGAGAAUUUGGGAGGCUUUUUGGCCCAGAUCCCUAGAUUUAUCUCUUGUAAGAUGCCUUUGGGUCUUAAUGUUUCUGAGUGCUUAGAGGGGGCAAUUUGCGUGACCCUAUAAUUACUCAGGCAAUUUAUACAUUUCUCUAUUGUUUCCUUAUUAGCUAGUAUUGUUUUCGACAUGUGAGAGUCCAGAGUAGGUCUACACUCUAUUUCCCCAAUAUUUUUUCCUUUGAAUCCUUUGAUGUACCUAAUUUUUAUCCAGUCUGCUAGGAUGGGGUUAUUAGGACUCCACAUCCUCUUUGCUCUUUUGACCAAUGCUGCAACAUUAGUUGCAAAGAAAUCCCUGACCCCUAUUCCACCUUCGCUCUUUGGGAGUGUUAUUUUUUCCCAGCUACAUCUUCUCCCGUCCCAGAUGAAGUUAUAGGCUAGGCUCUGUACCUUUUUAAUAAUUGUGCAUGGCAGUGUGAUUCCGUUUGCCCAGUAUUGAAACUUAUCAUGUAAGACCCAAUUCACUAAUUGAGUUCUGCCUGCGUAAGACAAACAUCUCCCCUUUCAUCUGGCUAGCAUUUUUUCUAUUGGGUUUAUCAACUUCCAACAUGUCGCUUGGGUUUUCUUUUUUCCCGUUAUGGGGAGACCAAGAUAGCUGAUAGGGAUGGAUUUAGUUAGGAAGUUGAGGAUGUUAUGUAGAGAAUGGUCAUUCAUACAUAUUUUUGAGUAGGUUGCUGAGUUCUUCUCCUAAUUAAUCUCGAGACCUGAGAAUUUGGAAAAAGUCUCUAGAAUUUUCUUGAUUGUUUUUAGAGCUGAUAUGUAAGGAUCGACUAUGGGUUGUGAUGAUGAAUUAAUUCCUAGAUUCCACCGGAGAUUAAUCGAUCACAGAUCUGGAUUCCACCAGCAGAUAAAACAGUAGAAGAUGAAGAGAAAACGAGAAGAAAAAAGAGAAGAGAGAGAGAGUAAAAGUACCUUAAAAAUCAGAAAAUAUAUGACCCUUUAUUUUCCCGCCUUAGCUUUAUUUAUAAUAGCAUCUCAACAGGUGGAAGGGAACCUGGUGAGAUGAGCCCAAGGCUUUUAAUUAAGAGUAAUUGUGCUCCUUGCCGCAGCAAGGGCACAAUUGGGAUUAACCCGAUUAGGAUGUACUACAUCAGGUGACCUCUCUUUAGCAACAUUUGUCCUCAAAUGUUCAACUUGCUCUGAAUCUGGUGGAUAGUACUUCCUGAGGUCAGAAAUAUUGAAAGUAGAUGACAUAUUAAACUCCUCUGGAAGAUCCACUAUAUAUGCAUUUUCAUUUAUUUUUUUCAAAAUCUGACAUGGCCCAAAAUUUCUAUUCUUCAGCUUGGAGUAACUUCCAGCAGGGAAACGACCUUUUUUUAGAUGCACCAUUACAAAUUCUCCUUCACUCAGAUUAAGUUCUCUUUUAGAUUUAUCAGCAUGUUGUUUGUACUUGGCAUUUGCCUCUCUAAUAUUUUUAUGAACCCAUUCAUGAAUAUCUUUCAGACUCUGUAACAUUUCUCCCACCUUGGGAACUGAAUUGUUGUAUUCCCUCAUGUCUACUAGCUGUUGAGGUAGCUUUCCAUACACUGUAAAAAAUGGGGCUGCUUUUGUAGAUCUAUUGGGCAUAGAGUUGAAAGCAAAUUCUGCCUGAGCUAGGCUUUUAUCCCACUGUUUGGGGUGUGAACCAGCUAGUAGCCUUAAUAAAUUCCCCAAAGAACGAUUGACUACUUCAGUCUGUCCAUCAGUCUGCGGAUGACAGGUUGUGCUAAAUUUUAGAGAAGUGUCUAGUCUUUUCCACAAUUCCUUUCAGAAAUGAGACAAGAAUUUUGUAUCCCUAUCUGAAGUGAUUGAUUUUGGGAUUCCAUGGAGUCUUACUAUCUCGCUGAAAAAUAGACUAGCAACUUGGCUAGCAUCAUUAGUGCGUUUGCAAGGUAAGAAAUAUGCCAUUUUAGAAAAUCUAUCUACUACAACUAAGAUAAAAUCCAUGCCUUUCUGAGUUCUUGGCAGGCUAGUUACAAACUCCACAGACACAUCAGUCCAAGGAGAAGAAGGGACUGGCAAUGGUAAAUAAAGUCCUGUAUUUUGAGAAUUUCCUUUAACCUCUUGACAAAUUUGGCAUCUCUGUACAAACUUUGUCACAUCUUUUUUUAGUUGUGACCAAUAGUAUCUUGAUUCAACUUGCAAAAUGAUUUUGUCUCUGCCAAAGUGUCCACUUAGCCCACUUCUGUGAAUUUCCUGCAUUAUCUGUAAUCUCACGAAUCCUCUGGGAAUGCACAGUCUAUGAUCAAAGAAUAAAAAUCCCUGUUGUAAUUUAAAUCUGGUCAUAUCAGCACUUGUUGAAUAAGCUUUCUACUGCUCAGAAAAAUCCUCAUUUGUUCUGUACAACUCUUUAAGUUCCCCAAAAGCUGGUACUGAUGUAUGCAGAAUUGUUAACAAGGAGUUCCUCCUACUCAAGGCAUCAGCCACCUUGUUUCUCUCUCCUGCUCUAUGUUGAAUAGAAAAGACAAACCUUUGUAAGUAAGCAAACUACCUGGCAUGCAUUCUAUUUGAGUUUGUCGGGUUGUUGAUUUGUCUGAGAGCUAAGUGAUCUGUGUGGAGUAUGAAUUCUCUAUGAAGUAGUGCUCCCAAUGCUGACAUGCUUUCACCACAGCAUAUAACUCUUGUUUAUAAGUUGUCCAUUUCCUCCUUCAGCUAAUUUCUCACUGAAAUAGGCCACUGGGUGACCUACUUGUAAUAAAACAGCUCCUACUCCACUGAUGCAGGCAUCACACUCAAUUUCAAAUAGUACCUCAAAAUUAGGCAGUGCUAGCACAGGUGUUGUUUUCAACUUUUCUUUUAAUUUUUCAAAACUGUUUUGUGCUUCAUCAGUCCAUUGAAAUGCUCCUUUUUUGAGGAAAUCUGUUAUAGGUGCAGUCACAGCUCCAAAGUUUUUUAUGAAUUUUCUGUAAAAAGAAGCUAAACCUAUAAAACUUCUUGUUUCUGUGAUGUUUGAAGGGGGGGGGGCACUUCUCCAAAGCACUUGUUUUCUCUGGGUCCAUUUUGACUCCAUCCUUUCCUACUACAAAUCCCAAAAACAGUACUUGUUCCACCAUGAAUAUACAUUUUUUUUAAUUCAACUUUAACUUUUGUUUCUGCAAUGCUUCUAAAACCAGUCUUAAAUGUUGAAGAUGUUUGGACUGAUUUUUACUAUAAAUGAGUAUGUCAUCAAAGUAGACUACUACACAUUUUCCAAAGAAAGGUUGAAGUACCUGAGUCAUUAACCUCGUAAAGGUACUUGGGGCAUUAGAUAACCCAAAAGGCAUCACUAGCCAUUCAAACAAACCAUGCUUUGUUUUGAAUGCUGUUUUCCACUCAUCUCCAGCUCUUAUACGGAUUUGAUGAUACCCACUCUUCAAAUCAAGUUUAGAAAAUAUUGUGGACCCUGCUAAAUCAUCCAGAAGGUCAUCUAUCCUUGGAAUUGGGAACCUGUACUUGAUUGUAAUUCUGUUUAUUGCUCUACUGUCCACACACAUUCUAUAUUCUCCAUUUUUUUUGGGGACUAGAAGUGCAGGCGCUGCACAUGGACUUUUACUCAUUUUUAUAAGUCCAGAUUUUAAUAACUCCUCUACUUGUUCAUGCAGAAUAAUUGACUCUCUAGGGCUGAGUCUGUAAUGUGGAAGGUUUGGUAAUGCUGAGCCAGGAACUAGAUCAAUUUGGUGUUAAACAUCUCUUUCUGGUGGCAAUCUAGUAGAUAAUUCAUCACUUGUACACAGAAAAUUCUGUUAGCAUUUUUUUUCACUUUUUCUGGAAUUUUCUGACUUUGGACAACUCCUUGACAAUGCAGAACUACUGCUAAACCUCCUCCCACUUGAUUAACUGAUUCAGUAAAUGCUGACCUGUUUUGUAGAAGAAAAUUAGCCUCUCUUUGUUUAGAGUAUGUUUCAGAAGGCAGUGGGAUUAAAGUAAUUCUUCUCUCCCUCACCUGAAUAAUAUAUUGGUUUUGUUUUCCUCUAUAAAUUGCUUCUUUAUCAUACUGCCAUGGUCUGCCUAAAAUUAUGUGUGUGGCAUCCAUGUCGACCACAUCACAUUUGAUGCUCUCAGAAUAAGACUUCCCAAUAGACACUGGAACUGAACAAGUUUGGGUUACCUUAGCUGCCUCUCUCAACUUAAUCCAUCCAAGUUGAUAAGGAUGUGGGUGAACCUCCAAGUGUAACUUCAAGGCAGCAACUGCCUUAGCUGAAAUUAAGUUAUCUGUGCUCCCAUUGUCUAUUAUAAUAUCCACUGUUUUCCCUUUUACUGUACCUCUGGUUUUAAAAAGAUUAUACCUCUGAGAUCCCUCUGUAAUUUUUGGGUUGAGGUACACUCUGUGUAAUACACACACCAGCCUUUUCCCCUCAUCUGGUUCUAGUUCCUCCUCUUCAUACCCAUUUUCUGGAUCAAUAGGUACUUCAGUUUCUUCAUCACAUCUAUCACAGACAUGUACUCUUUUAAGUGGGCACACAUUUGCCUUGUGACCCAUAGCUUGGCACUUGUAGCACUUGAUCAAACUAGGUCUGCCAUAUGGAUCCAAUGGAACAUCUGGUUUAUUAAGAGGAGUUUCUAACAAGGGUGCUUUGUUUCUGGGCUCCUUGUAAGAGGGACCAGAUCCAACCGAUGGUUCACCUCCCUUGCUAGAUGUUGAAUUAUAAGUUGCAUACCUAGAAGAAGAGACUGCUGAUUUCUCAAUUCUCUCAGCCAUGUUAAUUGCAUCUGCUAGGUCGGAUAUUGUGUGUAAUAGUAUCUUCUCUUGUAUCCACAUUUUCAGACCUCCAACAAAACGAGCUAUCAUCUGGUCCUCCGAUUCUUCUAAGACAUUUCUUGAUGCUAAUCUGUGGAAUUCCAUUGUGUAAUCCUCUACUGUUCUCACACCUUGACGGCAGUUCUGAUAUUGUGUGAAGAGGACCCUCUGAUAAUCCUUAGGAAGAAAUCGAUUGCGAUUUAUUUCUUCACUUUUGGCCAGCUCUUGAUUGCUCUCUUUUGCUGUCUAGCUCGAGAAGUAAUUGUCUGCUCCCACCAUGCUGAUGCUGCAGCCUUUAACCUCACACUAACCAGCUUGAUUUUUUUGUUUUCCGGUAUUUCCAUGACUUCAAAAAAUCUUUCAAUAUCCGUAAGCCAAUCUAGCACUUCUUCUAUUCUCAUGAUCCCAUUAAACAGAAGUAUUUCCAUCCUCAAUCUGUAUUUUCCAUACUCAUUUUCAAAUGGUCUUGGAGCUCUAUGGACAUUGUGCUCCUCUUGCCGAUAAUUGUCAAAAAAAUUUGACGAUUAUUACCAUCGCGGUGCUGGUAAUGGAUUCCCUGUCCUUCUUCCUCGUGCAUUUUGUGAGGUGGAGGAUCCCACUCAUCUGACUCAGACGAUGAUGAUACUUGCAGGUGACGUGGAUUGCGACUGGUACUUGACCGAUUUGUGGAAUGUUGUGGUUGAUCUAUCCAUAGUUCAAAAAGCGGAAAAGCGGUCAGCUUUUUCAGGUUCCGCUUUUUCAGCUUUGAGCGCUUUAGCGCGCUUAAAGCUGAAAAAGCGAUAAUGGCAUUAUUGUAAAUAAAUGUUUUUUUUUAAAUUGCAUAUAUACCCCCUGUUUAUAUAUAUAUUUCUUAAACCUGUAAAUAUAUGAUAAAAUCAUAAAAUAUAAAAUAUAUAUAAACCUGUAAUUAUUCAAGACAUCAUCCAAAUUAUUUGAAAAACAUUUACAAGUCAUAUAACCUAAUCAUCUAGACGAGCACCAAUAUCUAUAUUAUCUCUAAAAAUUUCUUCCAUUUCAUUAGAGUGAUAAAGGAAAUUAGGGUUUUAUUAGAAGGGUAUUGAGUUUAUAUAGUUAGAUAGAAAUUGGAGGGGUAGGAAGGGAAAUUAAAAUAGUUUAAGUUAUUUCACAUGGGUAAUGGGUUGCCCCAACCCAAUAACCCAACCCGACACGACCCGAUAACCCGCCCAAAAAAAGCGAUUGGGAAAGCACUCCUCCAGGAGCGCUUUUCCGCUUAAAGCUAAAAAAGCGACGCUUUAAGCGUCGCUUUUUAAACUAUGGAUCUAUCACCACUCUUCUCACUGUUUGUGAGAGUGUUUCCACCACUGUUGUUAAUUCUGAAAGAGAUUUUCUAAGAUCAUCCAGAUCUUUUCUAGUGACAACGUCAAGGUUCCGGAUGCGCCGCCACCUGAAGCAUCUGAGCAUAUGCGCUCAGAUGCGCCAGUGUCAUUUUCGUAAAUAUUUAUAAAACUAUAGAAAAUUAAUAUUUUUUUAUAUAUCUAAAUUAUAUUAAUUAAGUUUUUUAGUUAAAAAUAUAUUGGAUAGAAAAAUUAUUAUAAUACAUAUAUUUAUUAACUAUUAUAACACCCUAUAAUUCAUUGUAACACCAAGGUUUAAAAACCGGUUAACCAUUUAGGGGUAUUUUCGUAAUAAUAUAGCUCUAUAAAUAGCUAGGGUUUCUUUAAACUUAUAAAAGAGAGGCUUUUAUAAAAAGAAAAUAAUAAAUAACCCAAGAGGCUUUUAAAAAAUAAUAACGUAAUGGGCUGGGCCUUCUUUAAUACAUCUACAACAUAAAAAAUACUCUAUAAUAAUAAUUUAUUUAACCACACUUUUUUAGUCCCACAUCGAUAGAAUUCAAAAAACACAAAGAAGGUUGGUCUAUAUAAAAGAUUCAUUUUGUCUAAAACAAAUAUGAAGUCUAAAGAGUGGGAGGAGCUUAUAUUAAAAAUAAUAUAGCUCUUUUCAUGAACCAAUGUAUAAAUUUUUAUGCUAAAAAUUUAUAAAGUCUUAAAAUAAAAAAAAAUUGGCCUUUUUUUUAAAAUAAAAACAAAACAAUGUUUUAAGUUAUUUAAAUAACUUAAAACAGGCCUGGAUCCGGGUCGGAUUUUACCCGGAUCCGGCUAAGGGAGAUGCGCCUGGCGCAUCUCCCUCUGGGGGCGCAUCAUCGCAUAUGCGCGCGCACCCAGAACCUUGGACAACGUCCGACAUUUCUAGGAGCGUCAGCCUUGAUUUUUUUUUUACUGUUCCGCGAUGAACAAUAGCCCCGAAAACACUGUUCCGAAAACCUGUUCUGAUACCACCUGAUAUAGUCGAUCUGUAAGGAUCGGCUGUUGUGAUGAUGAAUUAAUUCCUGGAUUCCACCGGAGAUUAAUCGAUCACAGAUCUGGAUUCCACCAGCAGAUAAAACAGUAGAAGAUGAAGAGAAAACGAGAAGAAAAAAGAGAAGAGAGAGAGAGUAAAAGUACCUUUAAAAUCAGAAAAUAUAUGACCCUUUAUUUCCCUUCCUUAGCUUUAUUUAUAAUAGCAUCUCAACAGGUGGAAGGGAACCUGGUGAGAUGAGCCCAAGGCUUUAAUUAAGAGUAAUUGUUCUCCUUGCCACAGCAAGGGCACAAUUGGGAUUAACCCGAUUAGGAUGUACUACAUCAGAUUGGGAUUUGUCUUUGAGAAGAUCAGCACAUCAUCUGCGUAGAUGAGAUGUGAAAUGGAAACCGCUCCAUUCACGAUAUAAGUAUCCAUCCUCUUAUCCUUGAUCUCUUUCUCUAUUAGUCUGCUAAGGUUGUCCAUUACCAGGUCGAAUAAGAUAAGAGACAAUGGGUCUCCCUGCCUGAUUCCUCUAAAAUUGGUGAAGGGGAGAGUGAGGGAUCCCUCAACUAGUACCGAGAAGCAAGGUUCCGGGUGCGUGCGCAUAUGCGUCGGAUCCAGGCCUGUUUUAAGUUAUUUAAAUAACUUUAAAAAAAGGCCAAAAAAAAAUUUAUUUUAAGACCUUAUAAAAUGGUCCAUAGAAAGAGCUAUAUUAGUUUUAAUAUAAGCUCUUCCCACUCUUAAGACUUCAUAUUUGUUUUAUACAAAAUAAAUCUUUAUUUAUAGACUAAUCUUUUCUGUGUUUUUUAAAUUCUAUCGAUGUGAGACUAAAAAAAUGUAGUUAAAUAAAUUAUUCUUAUAAAGUAUUUUUGAUGUUAUAGAUGUAUUUAAGAAGACCCAGUCCAUUGGGUUAUUAUUUUUUAAAAGCCUCUUGGGUUAUUUAUUAUUUUCUUUUUAUAAAAACCUCUCUUUUAUAAGUUUAAAGAAACCUUAGUCAUUUAAAGAGCUAUAUUAUUACGAAAAUACCCCUACCGGUUAACCAUUGGUUAACCUGUUUUUAAACCUUGGUGUUACAAUGAAUUAUAGGGUGUUAUAACAAUUAAUAAAUAUAUGUAUUAUAAUAAUUUUUCUAUCCAAUAUAUUUUUAACUAAAAAAUUUAAUUGAUUUAGUUAUAUAAAAAAAUAUAUGAAUUUCCUUUAGUUUUAUAUAUAUUUACGAAAAUGCCAUUAGCGCAUAUGCUCAAGUGCUUCAGGUGGUAGCGCAUCGCGCAUCUGAAACCUUGUCGAGAAGGAGGCUGUGGAUAUACAGUUGUGUACCAAUCUGCACAACAGAGGGUUGAAUCCCAUUGCGUCAAGGGUGUGUGUGAUUGCUUACCAUUUCACUGUAUCAAAAGCCUUCUUGAUCGAGGUCAAUACUUAGACAACAUCUUUUGGAGGUUCUAAUUCUCCCGAAUCCAUGUACCAUCUCAUUUGCCAAUAUUAUGUUAUCUGAGAUGUUUCUUCCUGCUAUAAAAGUUGUUUUGUGAGGGGAUAUUAACUCGAAGGAGACCUUGGAGAUUCUGUCAGCCAAAAUUUUGGUGAAAUGUUUGUAAAUUAAGUUGACACAAGAGAUUGGCCGAAAGUCCGAUAGUUCAGUAGCUGUGGGUUUUUUGGGGAUUAGUGUGAUAAAUGUGUGAUUGACCGACUUCAAUAUGGGUUUGCCGUUGAAGAACUGUUUGACAAAAGUUAGGAUUGUUUGUUUUAGUUCCGGCCAGAGAGCUUUGAAGAAGCCCACUGUGAAACCAUCAGGUCCUGGAGAUUUCCCCAUUUGAAAUACGAACAACGUGGAUUUAACUUCCUCUUCUGUGGGUUGUUGAGUCAACCAUGUGUUCAUAUCUUGAGAUACAAUCCUAGGAAAAAUAACGGGUGUUGAGAUAUCUGGGAAGGGAGAACACUUGUAAAUAUCCUUGAAGUAAUCCAUACUCCUUUUUUCCAAUUGGGCCCUUGAGAUGACUACCCUACCCUCUCCAUUUAUUAAUUUAAGCGUUGAGUUUUUUGCCUUCCUUAACGUUGUAGCAAGACUAAAGAACUUGGUGUUUGUCACCUAAUCUAAGCCAGCUGACCUUGCUCCUCUGUUUGUGGUUAGCCUCCUCAGUUUUGAGUUUAUUGACUAACUCCUCCUGCUUUCUUUUGACCUUUUCUUGGAUAGAAGGGGCUAUUGGGUUGGUGUGUUUAGUUGCUUCAUUAGGGAAUCGAGAUCCUCCCUAGUGGUUGUGAUCUGUUUUGCAUCACUACCCUUGGCCGUCGCCCAAUACUUUGCGAGUAAUUUGACAUUUUGACUUCUUUUAAUUUUUGUUGUAGGCAAUAUAGCCCAUUGCCGCAGAUCAGCUUUGCUAUUCCUCUCCUGGCUAGGUCGAGGAACUCUUGCUCCUUCAACCAUGAAUCGAACAAUCUGAAAGGCUUUGGUUUCUGUGCCAUUUGUGCAAUUGAGAUGAGCAUUGUGGCAUGGUCACUAUAAGAGUCAUUCCAAAACUCUACCCUUAUCUCUGGGAAGAGUGUAAUCCAUUUUUUAUUCGAGAAUGCUCUGUCCAGUCUGGAUUGUACAAACCUAUCCCCUACCUGCUUAUUAUUCCAUGUGAAUUCCCCCUAUUGAGAGGACCUCGAUCAACUCUGCUAGGUCGGUAGCUUCAAUGAAUUCAAUAGGCCCUCCAUGAGUAUAAACUCCCACCCCAAGUCCUCUCCUUUCCUCUGAAGUUCUUAUUUCAUUGAAAUCACCCAACACUAGCCAUGGGUAGGAGUUGAUAUUAGGUUGGAUGACCUUAAUUACGUCCUACAGAGGUCUCCUACCUUCCCUUGUGUUGCUUGCAUAAACUACUGAGAUAAAAAACACCAAUCCUCCUUCGUUGUAUACCUUAGCAUGAAGUAUCUGCUAAUCUACCUAUCCAACAGGAUUGGUGCCACCUUCCAUUGGUCUUUUUUCCAUAAAAUCCAGAUUGAGUCUGAAUAUUCUGGGUCCUGCGGGAUGUUAAUUUCCUAGGUGGCCUUUUUUUUUAAGCAAUUAAAAUUUUUAUUUAAAAAAAUAAGGGCAAUGCCCAAUUUACAAAUAAAAAGAGUAUAAAAAUAAAAAAGGUACAAGAAAUGAACAAAAGCCCAUUGACACUCUCCCAUUAGCUAUGUAGUCUAGUUAUACAGUAACUAGAUACCCUCAGGAGGUUGGUCUCCCAUACUUCCAUCAUAGAUGUCUCCAAAGGGUGUGAACAGUUUUUCUUGUAAUACACUGAAUCAAAUGAGAGAUUGAUGUCUUUAAUGACCUCCUUAAGGACUGCCUCAGGAGGCCUCUUAUCAUUCUUUUGGUGUGCUCUAUAGCAUCUUUCUCCGGGAAAAACCAUUCAUCGGAUGAUCGAGUAAUUAAAAUUUUUUGUUCCUAUGCAAUCAAUUCCUGGUGUUCUGCAUUGGCCAGGAGCAAAGAGACUGUGAGGUGCUUCUCCGGCCAGAUGAGCCUCGUCGGAGAAAUCUGUGGUGGCUCCCUAACAACUCCCUCCUAAACCUUGUCACUGUACUGUGAAGCCUCCCAAUCGCGAUGAAAAAAUGGCAGACAGGAAAAAUGGCAGACAAGAACGCGAUGAUAAAGAUCAGUUCCACAUCGUAUGAUGAAAAAAUGGCAGACAGGAAGGCCCUCCAGAACGCGAGCUGACCCUCCCGCAAAAACCCUCACGACCAGGCCCUCCUGCAAAAAAACCUCACGAGCAGUUUUCCGGAACGCGCGUUGACCCUCCUGCAAAAGCCCUCGCGAGCAGUAGACUGUGAUCUUUCCGGAACGCGAGGAUCGUCUGACACGAUCGCAAGCAGAUGCGAGCAGACUCGAUCGCGUGGGCUUCACUCCCAAGCAGAUCGCGUGGUCAUAACCCUGAGAUACCUCAUUUUAAGAGUCCUAUAGUUGCUCAGGCAAUUGAUGCACUUAUCUAUUAAAUCUCUGUUGGCUAUGAUUGUUUUCCAUAUAUGGGAAUCUAAGGUGGAUCUAAUCUCAAUUUCCUCUAGCACUCUACCUUUUAUAUAUCUAAUUUUGACCCAGUCUACUAGGAUAAAGGUGUUUGGACUCCAUAUUUUUUCUCCUCUUUUCACCAGAGUUGUUGCAUUAGUGGCAAAGAAGUUUUUAACCCCAAUCCCACCUUCCUUCUUUGGGAGAGCCAUCUUUUCCCAACUAUUGCAUCUUCUUUCAUCCCAUAUAAAGUUAUGAGCCAGACUUUGGAUCUUUUUUAUAAUUGUACAUGGUAGAGUUGUUCCAUUAGCCCAAUAUUGGAAUUUUCCAAGCAAUACCCAGUUGACUGAUUGAGUUCUACCCGCAUAGGAGAGGUAUCUCCCUUUCCACCUAGCUAAGGUUUUUUCGAUUAGGUCUAUUAACUUCCAACAUACAACAUGUGUUUUCUUUUUACCUGUUAUUAGAAGGCCUAGGUAGCUAAUAGGAAGUGGUUUGGUUGGGAAGUUAAGGAUAUUAUGCAACUCUUGAUCAUUAAUUAGCAUAUACUUUUGAAUAGGUUGCUCAACUUUUCUCUUGAUUAACCACAAGUCCGGAGAACUUGGAAAAGGUAUUAAAAAUCUUUUUGAUAGACCUAAGAGAUUUGGUGUUAGCGUUAGAGAAAAUCAAGACAUCAUCAACAUACAUGAGAUGGGAGAUGGAGACAACCCCAUUAACUAUGUAUGUGUCUAUCCUUUUGUCUUUGAUCUCAUUUUCUAUUAGUCUACCGAGAUUGUCCAUUACCAUAUCAAAGAGGAUGGGGGAAAAGGAUCUCCUUGUCUGAUGCCUCUAUGGUUAGUAAAGGGAGGGAUGGGGCAGCCCUCGCCUAGCACUAAGAAGGAUGCAGUGGAAAUGCAAUUGUGCACCAAUUUGCACAAAAAAGGGUCGAAACCCAUGGCCUCUAGGGUAGAGGUGAUAGCCUGGUAUUUGACUGUAUCAAAUGACUUUUUAAGAUCCAUACUGAGAUAAUAUCUUCUAGGUGUCCUUAUCCUUCCAAAUCCUUCUAAGCCCAUCACCACAAAUAAUUACAGCCAACUCACUGUGGUACCUUAAAUUCUAACGAUUCAUAUAUAAUAUUCCUCUAAGAAUCUACUUAGUACCAGAGGGAUUAAAACAUAAACCAGAUCUUUAUAUUUUCUCAAAAUAAUAAUAAAUAUAUGCCAUAUAGUCACAUAGAAAGAAUAAGAAAUAUCAUACCAAUGUGGGAAACUUCAAGUAUGUUUGGAUGCAAAAUAUUUCUAUAUAUUGACGAACAGAAGGCAUAUUGCCUCUCUGCAAAAAAAAACAAAAGUGCCAGGGCUUAGUUUUAGAUUUUUGGUAUAAAAAAGCCAAGGAUGAAAAGAAUUACUUCACACAAGCAAAAUCAGAAUAUAGUUUUUCUUACAUAUAAGCAUAUAUGUAACAUAGAUGUGACUUUUUCUAAUAUAUUAUCAUCUACAUAGUGAGAGAGUACGCAUAACAUCUGCCAAGCUCGAACCUUUCGUCUAUGAACCUAAACAAGUUGGCAAAUGUUAUUUUUCAAAGACAGCAUAAUUUAAUAAUCUUUUUUUUUUAAACAAUUAAAUUUAAUAAGGCUAAUGCCUAGUUUACAAAAAUAGAGUAUAGAAAUAGAAACAGAAGUGAAAAGAAAUGAGCAAGAAGCUCAUUGACUCUCUCUCCCAUUAGCUAUGUAGUCUAGUUAUACAGUAACUAGAUACGUUGCCUCAGAAGGUUGGUCUCUCAUACUUCCAUCAUAGAUGUCUUCAAAUGGUGACAACAGCUCUUCUUGUAAUACUCUGAAUCAAAGGAGAGACUGAUGUCUUUAAUGAUUUUUUUAAGGACUACCUCAGGAGGCCUACUAACGUACUGUCUAUAUUUUUUAUUUCUUUCCGUCCACAAUUUAAUAAUCUUCGUAUAAUUAAAAUAAAAUAAAUAUUUGUCUGUGGGAAUGUAAGCCUAAAUACGUACAGCACUGUAUUUCUUGUAUAGCUCCUUUGCAAGGUCUGUGUCAUUAACCUGAAGAGUAAAACAAAUAAAAUCCAGAUACCCAAGGAUUAAAUAAUUAUAAAUUACAAAUUACAAUAAAUUCUAGUUGAAAACACUUUGUGCUUUGGAGAUUUUUAAAUUAUAAUUCAGACAUUAACAUAGGAACGUAUUAUGCAGUUUGACGAAUUACAUUUGCAAAAAACCUAAAAUUAUAUGAAAACCCAUAAUUUUUUUUGAUGAAGUUAAAUAUUUCCUCAAACCAGAUUUCUUAGCACCAAUGUGCUAGGCCACUCACUGAGGAUGGGAUCGGGCUAAGAUAUAUUGAGGACUGUUGUGAAGCAUCCAAAGUUUGAAGAUUUUGGAGAAUAAUAACAAAAGAUGAAUCCAUUUGAUCAAAAUGGAUGAAGAAGAGAUAUUUGGCAAUUUCGAGUUGGGACAUGGUUCAAAGACACUCUGAGGAUUCACAUAUCUGGAAGGAACUUGUGGAUUGCAAAGUAUCUAUCUAUCAAUGCAGUAAGCUAGAUCAUAAUUCAGUUUGACAGUGAAGGGAUCUCAAACCAUCUUUUGCUUCAGCUUGGGAAAAAAUCAGAGACAGAAGUCUUUCUGAUAGAUAUGCAGAUGGUUUAUGGGCUCAUGGAAUGAAUAAAUUCUCUUUGUGUGGACGUAGAAUUAGGUGGAACAAGCUACCAACUAAAGUCCAUAUAAAUGAAAGAGACUCUAGUAUUGACAAAAUGUGCAUCCUUUGUAACAACACAGUGGAAAAUCAGGAGCACUUGUUUUUUGGGUGUUCGUAUUUGAAACACACAUGAAGCAAUUCUGUUGAGAGAAUGGGAAACAUGAUUGAUAAGGGUGGAUCCCGAUCAGUGCUCGGACGAUACUUCGAACAAGCGUUGGGCUAGGAACUUCGUCGGAAACAGCUCGAACACCUCAGUCGCUCAGGCUUACUCUGGAAGGGGUUCUCUCUCACUCGAAUCAAAACUAGCCGAAUGAAUGGGAGUGACCUCUAUUUAUAGGGUCCUUAUGAGGGUAAUCUGGUCAUUAGGGUCAUAACCGCCUAACUGCCCAGAUCUAGCCCAGGUCGACUUUAUGAGCUCGACUUCCCUGGGGUCGACUUUCGCCCAAGACGACCUGCAGGGGUCGACUUCCUCAUAAAGUCGACUAGGGUCUCCCAUUGCCUAUACAGGUAUUCACCAUCCAUUCUGAACUAUCUCUGGUGUCGUGAUCAAGUCUCGGAUACAGUAUCACCAAUGAUCUCAGGCUCCCAGCAAAUAUUCACAAUUUCCUAGGAAUAUUUUGACUUAAUGAAUAUGUGUUUACAACACAUAAUACAUGUUGGGCAAUCCACUAGCAUGGCGUAUUUGGAAACAAAGAUGUAACAAGAUACAUGUUGGGAAGAAUAAUCAUUGGCCCAUUAUCAGGGAAAAGAUUCAAAGUGAUGCCAGAGUGAUGUUCAACCCUGGUAAAUUUAAAACUAAGCUGAGUUAUAGGAAGGCUUUAUCACUUAUCCCUUGGCAUGACAACCUCAGUAUCACCUCGGAAAAUAGUAGUAAUAUGUAUGACAUGACAACAUGUAUAUUUUCUCAAAAAAAGUAUAACAUUAACUAUAAAGUGAUAAACUACUUGUAUCAAUUUCUCUAUUAUAUGAAAAAUGAAAAUUUUCCCGUUGGCAAAAAAAUAUAUUUCAUUAAAUAUGAAAGGGGGUCAUGGUCUAAGUUACACUGAUAAGGAAAAUAAGAUGAUUCAAUGUCCCUCUUUUAUACAAUUAGAUCCUAUACAUUAAGUAAUCAUGGACUAUUGCCUCAAGAUGUUAGACUCCUAGAAGUUUCAGUUUGUAGCAUAUUUUUCAAUCAUUAUUUGACUGAUUGAUUAUUUUGUAAGAUGAAGUAUUAUAGUAUAUGUUUGCAACCUUUAAAACUUCCCUGCUGACUGUUUCUAGAGGUCUAAAUACUUUUCUUUCAUUCCAGAUGCGGAAAGUAAGAAUUUGGAUUGAUGGACACCCCGACAUGCAGCCCUGUUUAUGAAUUUCUCUACCACUUUUACAAUAUCCUAAAGUCUGAUAUAUCCCAUAAAUAAUGCUGGAAUAGGAAGGUUCUGAAUUCUCCAGAUUGCAGGGUUAAGGGCAGUUAAACUUUUCCAGAUAAUGGGCAGUUGAAAACAUGAAAUAAAAGUGGACGAUUCAUGAUUGUUUCAUCUUCCUGCCCCAAUUCUGCAUUUUCUUGUAUAUGGUUAGAAACUUCUAUUUAGUCCCAUGAAGAAUUUCCUUUUCCUUCUUCUCAGCUCUCUCUCCUAUUUGUUUUUAGAUGCAGUAGGCAACUAAACAUCUUGUUUUUCAAUGACCAAACUUGGUAAAAAUUAUGCAAUUUGAGGACUUCAAGCUGUAUUUAACUGUAAGGAUGGAAAUGAUUAAAGUCACUUGAGGUCACCAAGAUGGAAAGUGGAAUUCAUCCCCUUGUGAAUAAAAAACAAAAGGAAAUUCCUUAGUGGUUUGAUUGGUUCUAAUGUAGAAUUUUCCUCUGUUGGUAUGUGUAGGGUGUUUAUGUCCAGUUUGCUAGUAUAAUACUAGGUCUUACCAUCUUGGACAUGUUCCACUUGCGUUCAUUGUUAGAGCAACCUGGAAGAAACAACAGAAGAGGCAUAGGAUUGAGAGGUUAGGGAAAUCAAGGCUCCCUUGCCCUCACUGUGAGACAGCACAUUAUUUCCUAAUUCCUACACAUCCACCAUGAACCAAGGGGAUAAGCUACUGAGCUCAGAAAUGUUCUAAGCACAAUCCUAGUAUUUCAGUGCCUUCCGAGAGAGUUUAGUUGUCUGCAAUUGGGUUGAGGGAGUGGUAGAAAACCUAUGUGAGAGUUCUUAUACUCUUCUUUUGGAGUCGUGAGAAUCCUUAUCCCUCGAAGAAAACAAUCCAUCACCCCAAAUGCUUGGAAGAACCUUCACCUCCCAAAGGUGCUAUCCAGUAGGUUGUUAUUUCCAUUCGAAAGCUCCAAUUGUCUCGCCCUCGGCCUAGAGGACCUCUUAGUCAUUACACUAUUAUCUUGGUAUAUUGGUGGUGGCUCUUGCCUCAUGGGUAGCGGGGUGCAAAUGUGAUAUCCCAAGAGAAGAAGAGGGAGAUGGGUGAUCCCACGACAAGUUUUUUGCCAGAGAGGAGGCAAGUUUUGAUUUUUGAAUUCCAAGGGAAUUCAGAGACCACCAACUUUAAUCAUAUAGUGCAUAACUCAAAAUGAUAGGAACUCUGAAUCCUGAAAACCCAUAAUUUUUACUUUGAUAUGAGAACCCCAUGUUUCAUUUCUAUUGACAAAUAAUAAUAAAAAAUUACCACAGAAUCAAGAAGCUCAAGUAGAAACAUCCUUCCGGAGUGACAGGCGGCAAUCAUAUCUGCAGUUAAUUCUCCUUCUUGUACUUCAUAAUUUAAUUUGGAAAGUUUAUGGAAUAAAAUAGCCACUGAUACACGAGCAUACAUCUCUGUGUUGAUAAAUGCCUAAAAGAUCCAGAGUUAGAGAAAAGAAUAUAUUUUACCUAAACUAAGAUCUAAAAUAGAAACAAUCAAACAGUAAAAAGCAAUUUUGAGUUGUGCACUCACCAUUUUGAAAAAAUAUUAGUAGUUGGAAUACCAAGAUGAGAAAACUGAAAAUCAAUUCAACAUCGAAGCCACUUAGAAAAGAAAGAAACAACAAGUGGUCUCUAGAUAAGAUAUAGUGCAUAAGUGGAUUACUGAAACAUGGUACAAACAGCUUCUGAGAUGGCAUAGAUCUUCACCUUAUUGAAGGAUUUUUUGCAUAGUACAAAUUUUCGCACGAUUGUGCAUUGUGACAAUCAUGUUUCUACUAUAUCUCCUGAACAAUCGAUGUUGAUUGUUACUUUGUGAGAGAAGCAGUAAUGAGCAAAAAGAUCACUACUCCUUUUGUUCACUCAGUUGAUCAAACAACAGAAAUUCUCACCAAACCACUCUGCACUUCGAAAAUCUAUAUCAAGCUAAAAGCAUAAUUGACACAUAUUCUCCAGUUUGAAGGGGAUUUUUUUUUGACAAAUUAAAACUUUCAUUUCUAAAAAUGGAUUUGGGCAGUGCCCGAGAAUACAAAAUACAGGGAAAUGCAAAUACAGUGAAAUGUAAAAACAUUGUCGCUCUCUUAUACAGUUGUGACCAUGACCAACUAGCCAAAGACUGAUGCCUUAAGAGAUUAGACUCCCAUAAGCAUAUGGCUUGAAUUUCAAUUUGUGAUUGUGCUUCUUAAAAGUUGUGGCUUCACGUGCAAUGCUCACAUCCUUUUAAGAUAUAUCAGUAUCAGUUUAUAAAUCUAUAUCAGUUUUAUUUAUAUUAUAAUAUUAAUCGGAAACAAAAAAUCUCUUAAAAUUCUGUUUCCUGAUAUAAUUGUUUCCAUCCAUUAAGUUUACAUAAUUGUAAAGUAUAAACAGACUCUCUCUUGUCUCUACAUAAGGGAAUGUAAGUUCUCAUAUUAAAUCUAAUGAACACUAUUCUUUUUCGCAUAUCACGGCUUACUCGGUGGGAAAGAAACCAUUCUUCUCUUACUUUAGUAAGUAUGUUGAGAUGGAGAUCAUGGCUUUCAGUCUCUCACCAGUUGGGGGCAGUGCUCCUAAGGAACAAGGAACCGUGCCUUUAAGUACAAGUAACAUAAAAAAAUAGAGAUGUUGAGAUGAUUGAGUGCAUAUGAGUAUCAAAGAAGCAAAGACCUUUAGGUACAAGUAACAUGGAAUACAAACAUAUCUUUAUGUCAAAUGAUACUAUGAAAAAAUAAUGAAUUCAUUAAAUUAUUUAUCAGACACAAAAACGAAUUUCAAUACCUCUGCAAACUCUGAGUACGGAUUUUGAGCUAGCAUCAAGACCUCAGUUUUGGCCUCAAAAUUUUCUGAUAACUCAGCUUCAAAAUCCUCAUCAAAAGCAACUGCAUUACACAAAAAUAGAAGGAAUUCGGGAAAGUUGGGCAAAAAUGAAUAACUAAUGGAAUAAGAUGUUUUUUGAUAUAUUAAAACUUUCGUUUCUGAAAAUUAGAUUUGGGCAGUGUCCGAGGUUACAUAUGUAGGGAAAUGCAAAUACAAAAGUAUAAAGGCAUUGUCACUUUCUUACACAGCUGUGACCAUGACUAGCUAACCAAAAACUGAUGCCUCAAGAGAUUACAAUAAAAGAAAAUAAGUGAAAGAUGGACACGCCCAUCGACUCUUAUUUUCUGUAGCAUUAUUCCUAGUAAUUAACAUGUAAUUCUGCCUGAUUGCAUUUUUUUGUAGACCUGCUUGAAAGACAAGCUGGUGUCCCUGAUGACUUCCUUGACUACAGUUCCUGAAGGUCUCAAGAUGUUGUUCUUUAGCCUCUUCUUCUUUGCGCAGAUGUACCAAGAGAGGCUGCCCAAGACAUUCUAUUGCAGUCCCCAACAAACAGAAAAGUGGGCGAAUUUCCGAAAGGCCUCUGUGAUCUCUUAUCCUAAAUUCCUAAUGACUAUGUAUAGAGAAGGAUUCUAAGAUGGUUUUAAUUGAGUUAAGGGACUUGGGGUUGACUUUUGUGAACACAAAGACAUUAUCAACAUAUAUUAAGUGUGUGACAAAAACAGAUCCAUUCACUUGAUAGGUAUCAUCAUCUCCAUCAACCUAGGACAUCUAUUACCAUAUCAAAUAAGAUGGAAAAGAGAGGGUCUCCUUGUCUGAUUUCUAUGUGAUUUUUGAAGGGAGGGAUUAAGGUUCCUUCAGCUAGGACUGAGAAAGAGGCAGAAAAGAUACAAUUCCAGACUAUUUUGCAGAAAAGUGGAGAGAAGUCAUAUUCCUCCAGGAUGGAGAUGAUGACCUCCCAUCAAACUAAAGUAAAGGUCUUUCUGAGAUCAAUACUCAAGUGGCACCUUCUGGGUGUUCUUUUCCUACCAAACCCAUAGAGCAUCUCAUCUGCAAGAGUACUGUUAUCUGAGAUAAAUCUACCUUCUAUGGAGGCUCUUUGGUUGGGUGAGAUGAAUUGGCUGGAUACCUUACUAAUACUGUCAUCUAAGUUUUUUUCAAGCAAUUAAAUUUUUAGUUGAAAAUGAAGGGCAGUGCCAAGUUUACAUAGAGAAUUAAAAAUACAAAUAGAAGUAAAAAUAAAUGAAAAAAACUCAUUGACUCUCUCUCAUUAGCCAUGUAAUCUAGUUAUAUAAUAACUAGGAGGUUGGUAUCAUAGUUUUUCAUGCGACGCCUAGGCAUCGCCUAGGCGUCGCAUAGGCGACCAUGCGUUCCAGCGCAUGUAGGCGUUUGCCUUCAUGCGCUGGAACGGAUUAGACGGGUCCGGGUCAGACCUGACCCGGACCCGCCUAACCCAAUAGGUUUGUUUUAUUUUAAUUUUUUUUUAUUUUUUUUUUUAAAUUUAAAUAUAAGGCCCAAUCACCCAUUUAAAUGACUUAAGUCAUUUAAAUAAGAGGUUGAGGGUUUUAAAAAACCCUAACCUCUUUUCUUUCUUGUUUUUUGCACCUUUCUAACCAUAAAUUCAUAGAAGUCUUAUAAUCUAUGUAUUUAAAUUUUAAAUUUUAGAUUAAUAGGUCUAUCACUUUGUAUUAGUAAUUUCAGGUUUUAAAAUUUAUGCAUAUAUUUUUUUAAAUGUUUCUGAAUUUACCCAUAUUUUUUAGCAAAUAUAUAUAAGUUUAGGGUAAAUUUGCAAAAUUUACCCUAUUUUCAGGCGACCGCCUAGGCGGCCAUGCGGUCAUGGCCAUCGCAUGACCGCAUGGUCGCCUAAAAAACCUUGGUUGGUAUCCCAUACUUCCAUUGUUUUCACUAAGCGGACGCAUACCGCAUAGUACUAAUCGGUUGGCACUUGGCAAACUAUGCGGCCAUUUUUUGCCGCAUAAUGUAGCCGCAUAUUUCUGUCACAAAAAAAAAAUUCAGGCCCAAUGGCAUUCCAAAGUAGUCCCCAAGGGAGAGAAGCUUGUAAAACAAAUUGACACGAGAUAUGGGCCAGUCAAGAUGGCAUUCCUUUAAAGAAUUGUGAGACAUACUCCAUAAUGAUAUCUUUUAGUUCAAUUCAGAAUUUCCUAAAGAAGUCUUAAGUAAAUUGGGAUGGAGAGCAUUUAUAACCUCCUCAUGUAAGAUAAAUUAGGUCAGCCACGUAUUCAUGGGAGCUGAUUGGCUGAGAGCACCCCAGGGAAGGUGAUGGGUAUGGGUAUGGGAGGAGGACUAAUGCAGGGGUAACAAGGUACUAUAUAAGUUGCUGAAAUACACAAUACUGUUGGAGUUUGAACAAGUUUGAACAGCUCAUUAUCCUAGCUUGAGUUUCAAAUUCUAGAUCCUCUAGUCAUAAAUUGAAGAAUCUAAAAGGCUUGAGAGAGGAUGAUGGUCAAACCUUUGUGGUCACUGAUAGCACUAAAAACUCUAAUCUAGUCUCUGGCAACAUGUUAGCCCAUUUCUGAUUGGUAAAUACCUUGUCAAGCCUGGACUGUUUGAAGACUGUUCCUGUUAAAGUAAAUAUUAGAGUAAAUACAAUUAUUUGCUCUAAUUAGUUAAAGUAGAAUUACUUUACUGUUUCACUUUAUUUCUGUUAUAUAUUGUACUGAUCCACUACCUCAAGGUAGUUGAGAUCUACUUUUUUACUUUUCCCAGCCUAUAUAUUCAAUAGGCUGUGGCUAAUGCAAAUCACGGUUUACAUUGCCAAUCUUCUAGCAACAUUUAUUCAUUUCAUAUCUUUGAUAUGGUAUCAGAGGCCAGUCAAUCUUCAGCUUCCGCAACCACCGGCAAUCAACAAUCGCCAGCAACAAUGUUGCACAUGAAGGCUCCAAAAUGUAUCGUUCUCGACGAUACAAAUUACUUCAGCUGGUUCGCUCAGUUCGCCACCAUGCUGAAGGGAUUCAAUCUCACUCGCUAUGUUGAUGGGAAAGUCACUAUCGUGGCAGAUUCCCUGGAAGAUCAACAGGAUUCACUUAUCAGAAGCUGGAUCUACACCUCGCUAUCAUCAUCGAUUAUGCCGCAGGUAGCUGCUCUUCAAACUUCUGCAGAGGUCUGGACUACGCUCCAAUCUCUAUUUGCAUCAGGUUCAGAGACUCAUCUCCUACACCUGCGGCAAAAUCUUCAAACAAUCAAGAUGGGAAACCUAACAAUGAUUGAAUACUUGAAGAAAAUAACGUUGAUGAGAGAUCAACUGUCAUGUGCUGGAGAACUUCUCAAGGAUUCACAAGUGAUUCUCAUCACGUUGGGAGGUCUUGGAUCAGAAUUCCAGUCGUUCAAAACCUCUAUCACCACGAGGUUUGAUCACAACAUGAAGUUCCUGGAAUUUCAACAAUUAAUUCUGGAUCAUGACCUGGAACUAAAGAAGGAUGCUACUUCUCUUCAUCCCGAGGUCAAUGCGGCUGCAAAAUCUCCUGGUUUCUAUCGCCAAAAUGCUCCGGGAGGGCUGAACAAGGAUAUUUGGUGUCAAAUAUGUUCAAAGAAAGGUCAUAUCGGGAAGAAUUGUUACAACAGGAUUAAUCUCUCCCGUUUUCCUCCGGAUCAUCGCAGAACACUGUCUCCCAAUGGUCCUGGUCAGUACUCUGACAGCAAAACUCCUUCUGCCAACAUGAUCAGAUCUGGUUCAGGGGGAAAUGCUAGGUGGUAUCAGGAUUCGGCAGCAAACUCUAGUGUGACUCAAUCAGGUAUAAAUCUCCACUCUAUACGUCCAUAUACAGGGUCUGAAUGUAUUAGGACUACCAAUGGUGAAGGUAUGGAGAUUACUCACUUGGGAAGAGCAGAAUUCUCUUGUCAAGGAUCUGAUUUUAUUCUUAAUGAUGUUCUAGUAGUUCCAGAUGCUAACAGGAACCUCAUAUCUAUCAAAAAAAUUUGUAAAGAUAAUCAUGUGGCUAUUGAAUUUAAUGAACAGCAAUCCAAGGUCAUGGAUCGGGAAACUAAGAAGGUUCUCACUGUGGAUCAAGAGGAGGAUGGAUUUUAUCCAAUGUCACUCUCAAUAAAACACCCACCUGAAGUUUCUAUGGUGGAGAAAUCAAAAGUGUCAAGUGAGGUGUGCCACUGUCGUCUAGGACAUCUUAAUUUUAAAUCUGUAUUAUCUUUAAUUAAGAGAGGUCUGAUUAGUUCAAGUUGUAACAAAGUAGAAGAUUGCACAUGUCAUAUUGGGAAAGAUCAUGCUCUUCCUCAUAAAUCUUCUACCUCUGUGUACACAUAUCCGUUGGAACUGAUCUAUGCUGAUAUUUGGGGUCCCUCUCCCACUCUUUCAAUUGAUGGCUUUAAAUAUUUUAUUAAUUUCGUUGAUGCUUACACCAACCAUAAUUGGAUCUAUCUCUUGUCCAAUAAAUCACAAGUUUCUGAGGUGUUUGAUAACUUCAGAAAAAUGGUGGAAUUACAGUGUGGUCAUCCAAUUAAACAAUUAUAAACUGAUAAUGCUUUGGAAUUUAAGAAACUCUCAAGGCAUCUUGAAGGAUUGGGUAUUAUUCACAGAUUUUCUGUUCCUUAUAGCCAUCAACAGAUGGGGAGUGUGGAAAGACGUCAUAGACACAUAGUAGAUACAGCAAUCACCAAGCUGGAUUUUUGUUCUCUCCCUGAUCAAUUCUGGUCCUAUGCAGUAGUGGCAGCAACACAUAUAUAUAAUUUGAAUCCAACCACCACACUUGGAAAUAUAUCACCAUUAGAGGCUUUAUCUAACAAAAUUCCAGACUAUGACAAACUCAAGGUGUUUGGAUCAAGAUGCUUUCCUUGUCUCAGAAAUCAAAGAGAAAAUAAACUUUCACCAAAAUCUAAACCUUGUGUAUUCCUUGGAUAUCCAAGGAACCAAGAUGGUUAUCUCUGCUAUGACCCUGUGGAUCAUAAGUUAUAUGUCUCCCGUGAUGUCAAAUUUGUGGGGGGAGAAUGUUCUCUCAAUCAAAUGCUCAAAGGAAAAGAACCAGCUCCAAAAUCAGUCAGCUCAGGCUCAAUUAUAGCUGAAUCAGGUGGUCCAUCUAGUGCUGAUAUAAAAAUUAUAUCAGGCAGGAAUCCAAAUCUGGAAUCAGAUAAUGUGUCUCCCUUCACUCUCACUGACAACUCACCUCCGGUGAACGUCGAAGGGGAAUCUCAAGCCAGUGAUUUACAAAAUCAGACUUCAUCAGGUGAAACUUCUCAUGCAACAGAGCAAGUUCAGGACACCACACCUCCUCUCACACCACCCACAUCACCAGAGCAAGUUAGGAUACUCCAAUCUCUGGCUCCCUUUAUACACCGUCUCCCACUCCAACUGACAGUGGAAAUGAGGAUGGUGAGGAAAUUGAGGUGGUCCCAAGAAGAACCAGAGCAGCAAGUGGCAUUAUCAAACCUUUGAAAUAUAAUCCAAGUUUUGUUUUAUCUGUACAAGCAAGUAAAAUCCAAAUUCCCAAAUCACCUAAGCAUGCACUCCAAAUUACUGAAUGGCAGCAGGCCAUGAAGGAGGAAUAUGAAGCUUUGGUAAGGAAUGAAACAUGGCAGUUAAUUCCCAGAUCUAUGGAAGAUAACAUCAUCAACACAAAAUGGAUUUUCAAGGUCAAAUCCAAAGAUGAUGGGACUGUUGAAAGGUAUAAAGCCCGUCUAGUGGCUAAUGGAAUGAGACAGAUAGAAGGAUCUGAUUAUACCCAUACAUUCAGUCCAGUUAUAAAAGCCAAUUCAGUCAGAAUCGUUUUAACAAUGGCUAUAUCUAAUGGAUGGUCAUUAAAACAAAUUGACAUCUCUAAUGCAUUUUUGCAUGGUAAGCUGAAUGAAAGAAUAGUAGUAUCACAACCACCUGGAUAUAUUGAUAAUAAAUUUCCAGAUCAUGUGUGCCUGUUGCAAAAAGCCCUAUAUGGGCUCAAGCAGUCUCCAAGGAUGUGGUACACCAGAUUGAAGGAUUUUCUUGUUUCUGUCUCCUUCAAAGAAUGCUCCUCUGAUCCAUCACUGUUCAUCCUUCUUCAACAAAACAUUAAGAUUUUUCUAUUUGUUUAUGUUGAUGACAUUGUCAUCACAGGAUCAGAUAACAUCAGAGUACAAGAAAUCAUUCAGAAAAUGAGUAAAGAAUUCACACUCAGAGAACUAGGUGAUCUCAAAUAUUUUCUUGGAAUUCAAGUCAAUCCUAUAAAAGAAGGAUUACAUCUGUGCCAGCAACAGUACUUGUGCAAUUUACUGAGAAGCUGCAAUUUUGAUCAUCUAAAACCCUCAAUUACACCCAUGGGUGAUCUCAAACAGUUAUUUAUUGACAGUCCACCAAUUGCUGAUCAUGGUGAGUAUAGGAGAAUCAUUGGAUCUCUCCAAUAUCUCACACUCACAAGACCAGACAUACAAUUUGCUGUCAAUAAACUCUCCCAAUUUCUUGCUGUUCCUACAGAAGUUCACUGGACUGCAGUCAAGAAAUUAAUGAGAUACCUCUCAGGUACUCAAACAACUGGUAUUAUUCUUGGAAGGACAACAGACUUCUCCAUCACUGCUUAUGCUGAUUCUGACUGGGCAGGGGAUAUAAGUGAUAGGAAAAGUCAAACUGGAUUGUUAAUAUUUAUUGGAAGUACCCUGGUGGCUUGGGCAUCCAAUAAACAGACCACUGUCUCCAGAUCUACCACUGAGGCAGAAUACAGGGCAGUGGGUACAGCAGUUGAACACAUGGAAUCCGUAAGAUCAUUACUACAAGAACUUGGGGUGGAAGUUCCUCUUCCAAUGAAAAUUUUUGUGACAACUUGAGCACCACGUUUAUUGCUCAAAAUCCAAUAUGUCACACAAAAAUGAAGCACACUGCUCUUGAUUUCAGUUUUAUAAAAGAAAGAACAGAGAACAAGUCAUUACAAGUUCUGCAUAUCAGUGGUGACAAGCAGUUGGCGGAUAUUCUGACAAAGCCAUUGAGACUUGCCCUAUUCUUAAAUCUAAAGCCCAAACUUGUGUAUCAGGCUCCACAAGUUUGAGGGGGGAUGUUAAAGUAAAUAUUAGAGUAAAUACAAUUAUUUGCUCUAAUUAGUUAAAGUAGAAUUACUUUACUGUUUCACUUUAUUUUUGUUAUAUAUUGUACUGAUCCACUACCUCAAGGUAGUUGAGAUCUACUUUUUUACUUUUCCCAGCCUAUAUAUUCAAUAGGCUGUGGCUAAUGCAAAUCACGGUUUACAUUGCCAAUCUUCUAGCAACAUUUAUUCAUUUCAUAUCUUUGAUAGUUCCUAUACCUUUAUUUGUCCAACUAAAUUCUUCUCCUAUAUAAUUAUAGAAGGGAGCUCAAGGAGGCGUGAAAGGUUGAUAACAUGACUAAAUUCAAUUGGCCCUACAUGCUGGUAUGUGCCACAUCUCAUCCUUUCUUCGGAGGAUAGAACCCAAAGGAGUGAGUUGGAGGUUUGGCUGAUUUGUGAGAGUAGGACCCAAGAAUAAAGAUUUGUGGAAAUGGCAAUAUUUUGAUUAAAAAAAACAAUGAAAGGCUUACCAGAACCAUGCAGAGAUAACAGUUUCAAUUCUUUUAUGUAAUACUUAAUUGUUCCUGGAUAUAAAGACCACAAUCCUGUUAAAUGACAAGCUGCAAGUCGAAUGGUGCGUGGACUUUUUGUUCCCUCAUUAAUAAGUUGUUCGAUGAACUAUAAAAAAGAGAAACAUAAUCAUCUACUUACAAAAUAGAGUUUGGUCAUAGUUCAACCUCCAAGAACACAAAAAUCAUCAAUUAUUUACCAUUUCUCCAAAAAAAAUCACCAAUAAUAUUUUCAACACACUGAUGAUAAAAUUUAUUAAUUGUUACUGACCCAUUUUAGCGGGCCUUUCAUACCACUAUCUAUUUGAUGCAUACUUGGAUCGCAAAAAAGUGAGGGAUGCAAGAUAGAAGAUAAAAGAGCCGCAAUAGGUGCAACUCGACGUUUAUUGCAGCUGACAUGUAAAAUCCAAGAAGAGUGGACUAACUGAUAUACAGUCUGGAAAGAAAAAAGAACACAAACUAAGAGUUAUAUAUCCAUUUUUUUAUAAAGUUAAAAUGCAAGUGAUAUUUAGAUAGGCUCAAACUCAGAAUACAAGAAAAUGUGAGAUGAACAAAGAUUUAUCACCUCUGUCCUUUUAUAGCUCUGUUUAAAGCUUUUUUUUUAUGAAUUAAAGUUUUCAUUGCUGAAAGUAGGGUAGGACAGAGCCCAAGAUUACAUAUGUAGGGAAAUACAAAUACAUAGGAUAUAAAUAUAUAAGUAAAAAAGCAUGUAAAAGCAUUGUCGCUCUCUUAUAUAGUUGUGACAAUGACUAACUAACCAGGGAUUGGUGCAUCAAGAGGUUGGACUCACAUAGACUUAUGGCUUGAAUUUCAAUCUGAGUAGAUUGAGCUUCUUAUAGGUAGUGGUAAACGAUGCUCACAUCCCUAAUGAUUUCUCUGCUUACAACUUAUGGAGACCUCAGCUGAGUGCCUAUAUAGCAUUGUUGAGACAACUAGUGGAAUCUAGUAGGAGGUGUCUGGAGUAUUGCUAGUUAAAGUACAGAUGUUGCAUUGACUCCUCCAACCCGCAUAGGGGACAGGUAGUUUGUAGUUAGAUUCCCUAACUUUGGAGCCUGGUGAGGGUGUUAAGGAUUUUAACUUUGAUUCUCUAUAAAAACAUGGAGAAUUUAGGAGGCAUUUUGGACCAUAUGCCAGAGUUCAAAUCUUAUAUGAUACAUUGAUAACCUUGGGCCUUAGUGUUUCAGAGUGCUUGGAGGAAGCUAUUUGAAGUAUCAUGUAGUUGCUCAGGCAGUUGAUACACAUAUCUAUUAGAUCUUUGUUGGCUAUGAUAGUUUUCCACAUAUGGGUUAUACAAUGCUUUAGUCAGGCUAUAGAGACUAGAGUAGUACAUUUUGUUGGAAUUCUAGUUGAGUAUAUCUAUAGCUACACAAUGCUUUAGUCAAAUGCCUUUUCAAGAUCUAUGUUGAGGCAACAUCUUUUUGGGGUCAUUAUCCUUCCAAAUCCAUGCACCAUCUAGUCUGCUAGUAGGGUGUUAUCUGAGAUGUUCCUAUCAGCUAUGAAAGUUGUUUGGUGAGGGGAUAUCUAUUCAGCAGAGACCUUAGAGAUCCUAUCUGCCAUAAUCUUAGUUAUUAGCUUGUAUAUCAAGUUAACGCAAGCUAUCGGUCUAAAGUCAGAUAGGUCAGUUGUUGUGGGUUUCUUAGGGAUUAAAGUAAUAAAGGUGUGAUUGGUAGAUUUCAAUAGAGGGUGAAGCCUUGUAGAUCUCCUAAAAGUAGGCAUUACUCCUAUCCUUGUAGAUCACCUUAAAGGAGAGUUAGGUUUUAUUUUAAUAUUCUAAGGUACUUUUUUUUGAAGCAGAUAUUCUAAGGUACUUUCUCUCUCUCUUCGUGACAUUUCUUGCAUUUCUCUCUCUCUUUGUGUUGUUCGCUUUUCUCUCUUCCCUUGUAUUUCGUUGGUGGAAUCCAACACUAGAAGUGUUCUUUGCUGGACAGCAUUGCACUUCUUCCCUUGUAGAGCUUCUCUACAUUAAUAUCCUAUUAUAUAAAUGGUUAUAUAAGCAAUACGAAUGAGAAAAGGAAAAAGGAUCCUUUCCACCAAAAUACACCGUCUCGUAUAGGUAGUUUCCUCAAAUGGUAAUUAACCCAUCUAGAAGCUUCUACACCAAUUAGACUUGAAUUUGGGCCAAGUCAAUGACUUGGUACACAUGUUGGACAAGUCGACGACUUGGUGUCACGGUUAGAAAACUCGAUAACUCGGUGUCACAGCUGGCCAAGACAAUACAGUGGUACCCAAGUUGGCCAUGUUUGUGAGACUGUGACAAGAAUGGUGUGGGUUUCCAAGUUAAUGACUUACGUUGUUUCUAAAGUUUUACCUAUGAUUCCGUCUUGUCAUCGUCUGAGGUCAAGAACUUUAAUAAGCAUCCAGGAUUAGGUUGCCGAACUGCCAAUCACUUGUGCCCAGAUACUGAUUUAUAUGUAGAUUAUGACGAUUAGGUUCUUUGUAAAAGGGAAUACUACAUCCAAUCAUUUUUUAAAUGCUGCAUCUAGCUUUGUUAAAUAAAAUUAUAAAGGAAAACUAUAAAAGAUUCGUCAUGUAGUAAACUAAUUAACAACGAUUGUUAUAUUUUAAGCAUUACAAAUCGAAAGGAUACCUGUGAAUUCAAUUGAGAGUCAAAAAGUCCUAAGAUUAACCUCACUGAUCUUAGCAUGGGCAAAACAGAAGACUCACUUGCAUUUUCAAGACUGCAGAAGCAUGAAUGUAAUAAUAUAAAGGAAACAAUAUCCAUAAAAAAUAAACAUAACUGACUGUAAAGUGUGAACAAUAAUUACAAUAACAAAAUUUCAAUGAAGUUAAGAAAAAUUGGUUUACCUCUCAACAAUGUCAAAAAAAGUGGUUUUUAAACACGAAUCCGAAAAUAAAGCCAAUGAUUUGAGAUCAUGCCCUCCAUGAGCAGUCAUAUUAUAUGGUAUAGAAACGAGAGAGUCUAUGCAAAGCCACUGUAUAAAACAAAAUAUUGGAAAGAUAUUUUACAUUUUUACUAAAAGGAAAAAACAAGAAUCAAUUCAAUACCUUCCAAUUCAUCAAUAUAGCACGUCGACUGCGUGUAAGUAUUCCAUUUAUCAAAAGUCCAUUGAUACUUCUAAGAAAAUUAAAAAGUAAAGGGUCCAGUAAUGAUCCAUCCUCCAUAUUUGGAUAUAACAAUUUAUUGUGAGUUCUUAUGAAAUCAAAAACCAAAGAAAAAUCAAAUGAAAAUGCUCUAAAUACUGGCACCAAAGCUUCAAAAGCAGCUAGGCAAAUUUCAGAUCCUGUCUACAAAGUUAAAUAGCAGAUUAAACAAUUGAAUGAUAAAACUAUAGGAAUAAUAAAUGUCAUUUUUUAGAAUUUAGAAGGGAAAAACGACGAUGUACCUCUGUGUCAUAACUUGGAGAACAUAUCACCUUCGAAGAAAAAUUCCACAAAAAGGUAAAGAUUGAGCUGUGCAUUGACUUUUCCUCUAUCAGUGUAAACCAACAAAAGAUACUGACAAUGCUCUUCAAGGAAAUUAUCUGUUCAGCAAAGAGUAAAAUUUCUAUAUUAAUAAUAAAAAACAAAUAAUAUAUACAAUAUCCACUCCCUCAAUAGUAAAGAGUGGUAUACGCCUGUACGGUAUACCCCACUCUUAAUUUGCACCUACACCAUUUGCAACCCAAAUUAGUGGGAAAGAUACAACUACCAUCAGUGACCAUCAGCCAACUAAAUGUCUAAAUCAACAGUGGAUUAAUGAUUUUUCAUUAAUAUUAAAAGCAAGCAUUUAUAUCUACUAUCUAGUAAUCACUGACUUAUUUUUAAGCCUGUCCAAAUUCCAUAUCUACUACCUAGUGUAACCUCAUCUUUUUUGUAAAUCUGUUUACCUUUUUAUUUUUUUGAUAAAAUUAAAGAUUUUCAUUAGAAAUGAAGGGCAGUGCCCGGAAUUACAAAAGAUAUAAGAAAAAUAAAAUACAUGGAGAUGGAGAUGGAUAAACUCAUCGACACUAUUCUAUAUGGCAAUGUUAUCUAGAAAAUAAUAACUAGACACGCUACCUCAGAAGACUGGCUUCCCAACAUUACAGAGUAGCAAUCUCCAGUGGAUGACAACGGCUUUUUUUGUAACACUACGGUCUGAAGGAGAGGUUGAUAUUCCUAAUGACUUCUUUCAGUACUUCUGGUGUAGAUUGUGUUUACAAAUGAAGUAAUUAUCCAAUUGUGAAUUGUUGGAUGUGGAUAGGUGGGUGAUCAAGGAUCUAAGAUCUGAUGGUGUCAAUGACUGAAUGAAUCUAGUGUUAGUAUUAGAAGUGUGGAAACUCUUAGGAAGGCAUCCGGUUUUCUCCACUAGAGUUGCUGGUUUAAUUGUAAUUAGAAUUAUAAUUGUAGGCCUUUAUAAGCCAUUAGAAUUAAAUAGAUUUAAUUCUAUGUUAAAUGGGUCUUGGGCCUUGUAAUGAUGAUUAGGAGUUGCAAACAGAAAUCGGAAACCCUAAUCACCAUUAUAAAUAUCCUGUAAUGCUUGUAUUCUGCUGUGACAAAAAGAAGAGAAGAAUAGCGGAGACAUCCCAUGGACGUAGGCACAUUGCUGAACCACGUAAAUCUGUGUGUUUUUGUUUCUUUUCUCAGUUCGAUUUUAGGGUUCUUCCUAUCAUCUAGGGCCCGGGGAUUUAUUUGACCAUGUAAAAUCCCCCCCAAUGGAGGGUAUCUCAAAGAGUUAUGCAAAAUUUGUGGCUUGAAUAAACUUAGCUAGCGCCCCGUGGUUGCAAACCCCACUAUUGAUCCUCUCUCAAAAACCUGAUUUCGUUAAAAUAACCCUCAAUUAUCCAUGGGGUGGAGAAAAUGAGUCAUAUUUGUUGUAUGAUGUCCCCAUAGUGAUGUAGCCCACUGUAGUGCAUUAUCAAGCCUUUGGCUCUAGAUGAUUCAAGCCAUAGCUUGGGUCCUCUAAAUGGGUUGACCUGACUCUCAUUGUGAAUUUUCCACUCUCACACAAUGAGAGUAUAAAUAUGAGUCGACGGUCGGACGAAAGAUUAUGUUAUUUUGCUAAUCAAGGUACCCUAAGUUUCUCUACCCUCGUUUCUCUCUUAUUCCCUUUUUCUCGGUUCUUAUUUCCUGAUUGAUGGAUUCCAAUCGUAGAAAGGUAAAUAAGUGGAGUCCGUCUACGGUUUUCCAGCCCUUGCUUCAUCGGAACUUAGAUCCUUUCAGCCACAUCCAACGUUGGAUACACAAAAAAUAUACAUCAUGUAGAGUUUUUCUAUAUUCCCUUGGUCCUUUUCCCAUAAUAUACAAAACUGUAAAAAAUCUCCCUGAGUUCCUUAUCUUAAGAUGUAUCAAAUGGGGGUGGAUAAUUAAUACAUCGGCAUUCCAAACAUCCCUCCUCCAAAAUACCCAAAUGGAAGUGAAAGACUGAAGAGAUGCUGAGAUGAAGUUAUUUUGUGAAUCCCAAUCAUCCUCGAACAUUUGUUGGGUAUCUUGGAUUCUUUAUGGUCUAAUCCUAGUUUCCAAGACUGAAAAUACCUCCUUUGAGUUUUUCCUCACCAAUUAUUUAAUUUUUGAAUGAGACUCGUCGAAGUUGAAGGCUUGAAUCUCAUGAUAUUCCAUAUUAGGAAAGCCAUUAAGAGGUGGCUUCCCUCAGAGGAGGGGGACGGUUCACUUUUGGCCCAAUGCGGAUAGGUCUGUACAUGUUUCAAAGAUAUUCUCCAUUUCUCCUAACCUCGAUAGAAUCUUCUCCUCUAUUUUCUUUGAUCUCUCAUCUCUGCAAACUCCCAGAGUUUUUGUUUCCAUGCUCCAUCCAGGAGGGUGUUUGAGCAUGGCCAAAACCUUUGGGGGGACUUGUCUAUGCUUUUGUUCUUUUUCUUUCUCUUGUAGGUUUUCACAAAAGGAUCCUUUUUUUUUUGAGAAAUUAAAACUUUCAUUGCUGAAAAAGAGGUUGGGCACAGCCCAAGAUUACAGAAUAAUAUAGGGAAAUGCAAGUACAGUAAAUGUAAAAAUAUUGUCUAUCUCUUAUGCAGCUAUGACCCUGACUAACUGGCCAAGGAUUGAAGCCUCAAGAGAUUUGACUCCCAUGAGCGUAUAGCUUGUAUUUCAAUCUGUGAAAGAUUGUGCUUCUUAUAGGAUGUAGGAUCAUAUGUAAUACCCACAUCCUUUAUAAUUUCUCUGCUGACAAUUUCUAGGGGCCUUAGGGUGUGUUGUUUUAAUCUUCUAUUCCUUUCACACCAUAUGUGCCAGGAAAGAGAUGCUAGCAUAGUCCAGUGUACCCCCCAACAACUGGACUUGUGGGUGAAUUUUUGUAUUGUUUCCAUAAUAUCCCCUAUCCUAAUAUCUAUUGCGGGAGGUGGGGGAUUUUGCCCACUAAGUGUCCAAACAGCAUUGUUAAGACAGCUAGUGGUCUCUAGCAAUAGGGAUCUAGUGUAAUGGCAGUUAAAGUAUAAGUGUUGUAAUGUUUCUUCCUCAUUUCCACAGUGGGCAGGACGUAUUUAUAUUGAGUCCCCAGCUUUUUAGUCUAGUUAAAGUGUUCAGACUCUUGACCUUAUGUUUAUCAUAAUAUAUAGCAGGACUAAGCUUUGGUGGGAUAUAGGUCGAAGUUUCCCUACAUUCCUUCCUAGGGGCCUGAUGGUGGAUGAAUAAUGGAAUUUUGAUGCAUUUGGUCCGUUUAUGUGGCCAAGUAAUGAGUAAUCUUAAAAAUGGCCCUGGUUGGGGCCAUCCAUUUGAUUUCAAAAUUAAUGGAGUUUGACUCACAUCAUUGGAUGACUCACAUCAUUGGAUUGCUCAUUUACCAAUGAUGUGAGUAUAAAUAUAAUGGGCCCAAGAAGAGGAUCCCCAUCGAUUAUUGCAUACAGGUAUUACCUUCCUCUUUGGCUCUAUUCUCUUUUUCUCACUCUGCUUUCACUAUUGCUUUCUACUGUUCUUCUCUUUUUCUUGCUAUUCUCUUGGUGGAUUACAAGAUCUUCUUCACAUCCGAUCUGAGAAGGAGCAUUUAUCUUCUUCUCCCCCCCCCCAAUGACCCGAUCUUGGAUAUAGGUUGCAUCAAAAAUGCUCAUAGUCCUCUACAUUUAUAUUUCUUUCCUUUAUAAUUUUAAUGGUAUAAAAAUGAUUAGUCCAUCACGAAAAAUGAAAUCUUAUUUUAAGAUUAAAAGCAAAAGAAACUUACAGCCUGAAGCACGGAAGUAGUAGUAAAAGAAGGCAACCUCCGCUGACAUGGCCCCCCAAGUCUUCCAAUGGAACUAGGAAGAGUUGUGUCCUUAACAAUGGGAAAAUACCAAAAUGUGGCAGAAGCUGAUUUAACGAACUUCAAAAGUUCAUCCUAUAAAGAAUAAGUCAUUAAGAUAAUAUUACAACAUUAAUCUUAGUUGUAUGUGAAUAUCAAAAGAAAAGGCAAUGACUUGCUCAUUUCCAUACCACAAAAGAUAAGAAAAUGCUUUGGAAUUUUUCAUAAACAGAUGAAACUUCUUCUUGAGAUAACUGACCCAGCAUACCAUUUGAUUCUACUUCAUUUUGAUCAAUGGAUUUUACACGAUAAAAAUAUGAUGAAUUUUUACCAAUGUAUUGCAGUUCUUCAAUUAAACCAGUGAUAAUGAUGAGAAACUUAACAGGGAGCCAAUCCAAAUCAGUGCUACUUUUGCAGAUAUCAGUGCCACAGUCUUUCAGAAACUGAAAUAUCAAAAAAUAAAGAAAUGAUAGUAGAUAUAGGAGUCGAAGCCUUUAACUUAAUUGUAUUGUUAUAUUAAACUGAAGCAGAAAGAAGAACUGCCUCCUUGAUAAACAAAAGAACAAUAUCACAAUUUAGCCUAAAAUCAAAAUGUAAGCUGCAAUUUUUCUGGUACAAGGAGGAUAGGACCAUCUUAUUCUCCGUCAACUUCAGGGAAAUCUCCGAAACCAGAUGGGUUAACCUCAAAUCAGAAUUCUUUAAAAAAUCUGGCCAAAGGUGAAGGAAACUGCCAUGCAAUGUAUCCAAUUGUUAUGCAAUUCUUUAAAAAAUCUUCUAACCACCCUUUUCUCACAUUGGUUCCUAAGACAAAUACAACAUCAGAUAUGUCAUAUGUCUGAUUUCAGACCUAUUUUUUGUGUCAACUUGAUUUGUAAGCUAAUGACAAAAAUCUUAGCAGAUAGAAAUAAUCGAAUUAGUAAAGUCUCUAGUGAGCUCAUCUCCCCAAACCAAACAGCAUUCAUUCAGGGUAAAAACCAUCCUAGCUAAUGAAAUGGUACAUGGCUUUGGGAAAAAAAGGACUCCCAAUUCGAUUAUAUAGAUCUUAAAGAUGUUUGAUUAUAGAUCUUAAAAAAUAUUUGACACAAUCAUAAUUGCCACCUUUGAGGUGUAUGGCUUCUCCCCUUUCAAAAGCCAGAGGGGAAUCAAACAAGGUGAUCACAUUUCCCAAAUUUUAUUUGAUAUGGUGAUAGAUGUCCUGAGUAGGUUAAUACAGAAUGAUGUGAGGAAAAAAAAUAGACACCUACCAAGUUAAUGGGGCUCCAUCUAUAUCCUACCAAAUUAAUGGGCUACUUUCAAAAAGGCUAAUCCGAAAUCUCUAAAGGAAAUUAAGGCCUUGCUUGGGAAAUUCUCAUUUUUCUCGAGUUUGAAAGUAAAUAUGAGUAAGAGUUCCUCCACCUUUCCGUAAAUAUGUGGAAGGCCAAUCCCUCCAUAGCAUUUUAGGAUACUCUGUUAAAAACUUACCCAUAUCAUACAUUGGACUCCCAAUCACGGGAAAGAAGUCAUUCGGGCAGUAAUGGAAACUCAUCCACCAAUAAAGACACUCCUAGCAAGAUGAAGUGGGAAGUGCCUCUCCUAUGGGAUUAGAAUUCAGCUAGUAAAUUGGAUAAUAGCUGGUAAAUAUACCUAUUGGGCACAAGGCAUGGCUAUGAGAGGCUAUCAUAGAUUCAGUUGCUAAGAAAGUAAGAAAGUUAGCCUAUAAAUUCAUCUGAAUUGGAAGAAAAAAGAUCCCAUGGUCUCAAAUGAUCCUCCCUAGGCUGAAAGAAGUCUAAAGAUCUCUCAAUUAAUACUACCGCGUCAAGUAUUAAAAGGGCAUCAAAGUAUAGGGACAAGAGCAACUCUAUCCUAGUGCAAUGGAUCUAAGAUAGGUAUAUUAAGGAGAAAAGUAGAAAACCUUAGGGAAAUUCAAAUCAGGCCCUCUAUUAACUCCCAUUUCUGGAAAAGCCUUCGUUUCAGACAAGUCUCUAGUAGAUAAAUGCUUGGAUUGUAGACCUGAUAACAUUGCAAUUUGGAGGUUAGACACUCUUAUAAGAAAGUUAGGGGGAAUUGUAGAGAGUAUUAGAAAUAGAAGUCAUAAAGACCAACUUUUUGAUAAAAUUAAAAUUUCAUUAGAAAUUAAGUGGGUCUUGCCCAGUUUUACAAAUAUAAACUAUAAAAAUCAAUUAGCUAAGGGAAUUUGAUCUAAAGUACCAACAAAGUUCCUCAUUCUCCUAUGAAGAGUUAAAUGAAAUCACUUAAACACUUUUAGGAAGUUGAGGAAUUGGGGAGCGCAAGUCUCUCUUUUUUCUUUCUCUCUUUUUGAUGAAUUAAAGCUUUCAUUGCUGAAAGUAGGGUAGGGCAGAGCCCAAGAUUACAUAUGUAGAGAAAUGCAGAUACAUAGGAUAUAAAUAUAUAAGUAAAAAGCAUUGUCACUCUCAUAGUUUUAAAAAGCGGAAAGCGCUCCCAAUUUCCAGGGAGCGCUUUUUUAGCUUUAACCGCUUUAGCGUCGCUUAAAGCGGUUAAAGCGGUUUAGCUAUAUAUAACCCUAAAUAGCUAAAGCGGUUAUCUUAGCUAAAUAUAAAUAGAUAUAUCUUUAGCUAUUUAGCUAAAGCGGUUAAAGCUUUAACUUCCCAUUAAUAGACACGUAUUAUUUAGCUAAAGCGGUUAUAUCUUUAGCUAUCUUUAACUUCCCAUUAAUAGACACGUAUUAUUUUUAUCUCAUAGAUCUGUCAAAUGAGAUAAAUAAUACAUGUAUGAGGUAAAUAAAUACCCCAUUAAUAGACACGUAUUAUUUUUAUCUCAUAGAUCUGUCAAAUGAGAUAAAUAACACGUGUAUGAGAUAAAUAAAUACCUCAUUAAUGGUCCAAAAAACACAUUAUAACAUUUGAAAAAAGCGUUUGGCAAAGCGGUCCAAAAAAACCGCUUUGCCGCUUUAAACGCUUAAAGCGACGCUUAAGCGUCGCUUUUUGAACUAUGGUCACUCUCUUAUAUAAUUGUGAGCAUGACUAACUAGCCAGGGAUUGGUGCCUCAAGAGGUUGGGCUCCCAUAAACAUAUGGCUUGAAUUUCAAUCUGAGUAAGAUUGAGCUUCUUAUAGGUUGUGGCAUCAUAAACGAUGCUCACAUCCCUACUUGUUUAUUAUGUCUCUCCUGCUUGUUUAUUAUAUAACUUGCAGAAAGAAUCUAGAAGUCACAUCUUCUUUAACUGCUCAUAUUUCAGAUCCCUCGUAAUCCCAUUGGCAGAGCACCUAAACUUCUCUUUCUAGAAGUAAAUGAAUAUCCCAAUUACCAUCAAACAAGUUCGAAUAUAAGAUUGGAGGAUUUGACUGAGACUGCACAGAAAUUCACACCACACUCACCCCUUGGGGACUACUCUGGAAUGUCAUAUAGACUGAGAGGAAUAGAAGGUUUAGACAACACACCAUUAGGCCUACUGGAGUAGUUUUUAAGGAAAUAAUUAAGGACAUCAUUCUCUCUUUUGGACCGGAGUAUCACAAGAAGAGUCGUUGCCACCAUUUGAAGACAUCUACUAUGAAAGUAUGAGAAAUCAACUUCCUGAGGCAACGUACUUAGUUAUUAUAUAACUAGAUUGCAUAGCUAAUUGAAAAGAGUCAAUGGCUUUUGGCUCAUUUCCCUUUUACUUCUCUUUUUUUUGUAAUUCAUUCUCCAUAUAAUCAGGGCAUUGCCCUUCAUUGAUAUUAAUGGAAAACUUUAAUUGCUUCAAUAUAUAUAUAUAUGAAAGAGUCAAUGAACCUUAGCUCAUCUCCCUAAUAGGCUAAUAUAUAUUAUUUUAUCGCCAUUUGUAAUCAAUAUUUUAUAAUGAAAAAGUUUAAUUUACCGAAAGAAACUUUGAACUUUGAAAUAUAGGUAUUCUGAUGACCAUAAUGCGAUCAGAAACGUACGUUACGUACCAUCAAUAAAUGUUCCAACUGAUCAGUAUCAGUUAGCGUAAGAAAAAAUAUUCGCACCCAUCGUUGUGUUUCAAAUACCCAUGCAUUUAAAUCUUCAUCGUCAAAAGAAACAGGAUUGUGAAGUACAUGCUGAUGCUUCACAAAUUUUAUUGGAAAAUUAUAAAUAUUUCUCAUUACUUCAGAAUCAUUGCCAUCAUUGGUUUUUAUUCGAGAAAACCAUCCUUGAAUUUUUCUUCUCAAAGGACCUUAAUGAUACAAUAUUAAUUAUACAUCAGAUCGUCAACAAAUAAUAUGAGUAUAUGAUCAACAAUUAAACAUCAUGAAAGAGUAAAUUAAAAUAUAUUUUUUUUGAUAAUGGAAAAAAUCAUUAAUAAUGAAUAAAUAGACAUAGCCCAAGUCAAAGAGUAUUAGAGAAUGAGAAAAAAUCUCAGUCACUAAGGAAAAGUAAGAUUUUUCUAAUAAUCCUCAAAAGAAAAGAUUAAGAUUAUUUUUGUAUUACAGACCAAAAAUUUAAUUAGUUAAAAAAAAUACUUACUGCUAAAGUUGAUAAACUCCCAUGGAAUAGUUGAAAGAAAAUGCAAAAGCACAUUAAGCGGUACGUCACAUGGAUCCAAUGCAAAAUAUGCAGUAAACAUGAUCUGCUCACAAACUAGAUACAUGAUCAUAAAGACAGAAGAUCAUAAAAAAAUUGCACGAGAACUUCCACUUACUGUUAGAACUACCGAAAUUAAAACUGAAGUAUUGAACUGACCUUGAAGACGGUAUUUUGGAUUGAAAUGUUGUUUACAUCUCUCAAUGAUUAUUCCCAGGGCAUCCAAUAAUUCUGAAGCAUCGUGGUUCAAGCAAUAUACUUUGUCAAUAAUGUUGAUAUUUCUUUCAUAACAUGAAGUGUUAUUUGACUUAUUUCCCUCAGAUACAGUAGCCCCCCUAGCUGCUGAAGAAAGACAGAAGGCAAGAGCCAUCAACCCAGCGCGUAUAAAAGGCUCUUGGCGUGCAACGGAUGCUAAGCCAUACAAGAAUCGAAUGCGAGUCCUGCAAAAAAUGAGUAUUAAAUGUUCAAUUUUUCCAGGUUUUGAAUAGGCACUGCAAAGAAAAAGAAGAAAGAUUUUUCAAAUUUCAAAAUCAAAAGGCAACGCAAAGAAAGAAAUCAUAAUUUCUAUCAGAUCACGAUUUCUAUUCUUGAGCUACAACCUAUUCUUCGAAUUUCCAAGCAACCAACUUGGCUUCCAGUAGCUCCAGUAACAUCCAGCGUCAGCGACCACCAUGCUCCGGCGAACACUUCUUUCCAGCCAUCCCCUAACCUCCAUUCUAUAGCAUUCUUGCACUCUCUUCUAUAAUUGAAAAACCCAACGUGAAACUUAAUUUUAUAUGAAACUAUAUCUAUAAAAAAUACAAAAAUACUCCCGGUGCAUCUAGGCAUGCCUAAGCGUGGAAAAAGCUCAAAUGUGAGGGUUGCUGGCUCCCCUCCCCGCACACCUGAGCAUUUAAAACCUUAUGCUCUAUGAUGAACUGUGAUGUAAUCGUAACAUUUACUCACUACUAGCACAAGAGAUCACUCCGUAGGGUCGGCUGUUCAGAGAUGAACCAUGUAAAAAAAUUGAUGAAAUUAUUAUUUUUUUCAAUAAACGAAUGAAAUUGCCCUGAUUACACUGAAGAUAAAGAAAUAAAAACAUAAGGGAUUUUCCUAUAUAGCUUCAUAUACUAGAGUGAAUUUGUUACUUUGCCGUAGGAGGUUUGUCUCCCAACAUUGUAGAAUAGCUAUCUCCACGGGUGACACCAGUUCUUCCUAUAAAUUUCUGGAUUAUAGGAUAGGCUGGUAUUCCAGUAUAAUUUUUAGGCUCUGAACCAUAUAAAUUUUUGUGUUCUUACUUUUAUUUGUUUCAUUGGUGAGAAAAAAGUUUGAUGAGUAUUCAAAUCAGGGGUUGCUUGAGAUUGACCUAAAGUGGACUGGGUGCUUUUCUCACAUCAAGUGACCUAUUUGGUUUUAACUGAAGAUGAAACAAUUACUUGGAAAUCAAUUUUUACUAUCAUAUAUUUGUUGCCCAAAAUGCAGAGAAAAGCUUUGCUGUCUCUCUGAUUCUUCUAAAUAUCUCUGCCACAGCUUACCAGAGUGUGUCACGAUAUCUAAAUUCUAAUAGCCUAUGACUCCCCAAGAUAAGCCUUGAACAUUCCCUACUUUAUCGAGGACCAGAUCUGUCUUAAGCAGACUCACACGAUCCUGAUAGUAUGACAACAAGUCAGAAUGAUGUCAAUCUAUGAGGUCAAAAAUAUUUGAGUAUUUUAUAAUCUCAUCUAUAGCCUGUAGGUUUUACCAAUCAUUAACAGGUCCAAGUUGAAUAGAGCUGUGAGAGAUAUCUGAGGCUGCCUAGCCAAUAUAGUGAGAUAAAACAAAUACAAUGUAAUUGUGGUUAUUAUUGUGAACUUGUGAAAUAAUUAUAUUAAAAAAAUAUUAUUAGCAUGUACUACUAGUUUACUUUAGGAGUUCAAGACUUCAAGGGUCUCGUAAAUAUUCAUUUUCUAACCUUUUAUCAAAAUUGCCACAUAAUUGGAGGAAAAAAUUUGAUGCAUCUUGAAUUGUUUUCGACGAAUAAGCACCUUUCAAACCUGUCACCAAAGCAAUCAUAUAAAAAAUUUCAAACAAUGAUGAAAAUAUGUUACUUAUGAGUCAUGCUUUAUAUUACGAGUCAUUUUAUUAUUGAGAAACUUAACUACUUCAAAAUAAUAAUAAUAGAAAAGGGUUAUUAGAAAUAAUAAAUAAAAUUUUAAAAUAAAAGGUGGAAGAAGAGGCAGUAGUGAAAGAUCAGAUCUCAGGAUAGUGUUAGCAUGAUCAGACAAAAAAGAUGAGACAGCAAUUGACAACAAGAGUAAAGAAGAGAAAUCACAGUUUAGUCGUGAUUUUCUUUUCUAUAAUUUCUAUUUCAACAGAUGUAAGAAAGAUACAGACCCAGAUCAGCCUAGGAUCACACAGGAAUUCCAGGAACAUGCUCGCAUAUGUGAAUGCAUGCAAAACCUUAGUGGAAACAAAGAAGAUGUGGCAAUAAAAAAUUAUAAAGACGGUGGCAGUCUAAAUUUAUGGGUAACCCCCAAAUCAGUGGGGCAAUUGCAAAUUCCUCUCAACCCUCGUUAAUAAAUUUUAUCAUAUUGCUCAAAGAAAGAGUAAAGAGUAGGUCAUAUUUAUCAAAGGACUAAUGCUUACCAAAAUCUUUGUGAUGUGCAACAUCAUUCAAACCCUGUAUAAGUGGCCCUAGAAUAAACUUUUCAGGUAUUUGUUUCGCAUAGCUUCCGUGAGUUUCCCAAUUGAUGUUUAAAAAAGAUUGCAUAAUCAAACAUCGCACUGAAAUAAAUAUGAAGGAAAAUAUAUCACACACAAGCAUCACACUGAAACAAAAAAAAUUGUACGAGAGUCGAGAAUAAAUAACAACGAUCUUGACUCUUGAGAAUUGAUAAUGAGUGUUAUGCUGAGAGAGAGAGAUCCAAUAAGAGCAAUUUUUAUUGAAAUUCUAUGAGACCUCUCCCUUCAUUACUAUUGUAUUUGUUAAUUGUUACUACUAGUAGAAGGGAUGCCAUUGAGAAUUCAUAAUUAAAGAACAUAUUGGUCAGGGAUUCCUCCUUUUUUAUGAAAGGUAAAUUUUCAUUAGAAAUAAAGUGGGUCUUUCCCGAUAUUACAAGAUAUAGAAAAUAAGGGGGUCCUCUCAGCGUUGCAUCAAUUUACAUAAUUGAUAAAUGACUCCACAAUGUCCAUUACCACCGGAGUAUCAAUGAGAUUUGUGUGCAUGGUUGCACGUUACACAAUGAACUCUCAUUGAAUUAAGCAAUGCUCCCACAUUUGGAAAGUGAGGGACCACUGCAUAUAACUCAUAUUCGUAAGUGGUCUAAUUUUUCCAUACUACUACAAUUCGAACGAAAUAAGGGCCACACUCUAUCUCAGGCUCAGCUUGAUAAGCUUAUCUAGCUUGGAGCCCAGGCUUGAGCUCGAAUCGAUAGGUUCCAAGCUUUUAAAUGCGUGAUUGUGCUGUGCGCCAAGACCUAGUAGGCACGCCGCAGCUGCCAGGGGUGUUUUGGUAAAUCAUUACAAAAAUAUAUAAAUUCCAUAUAUUUUUAGAUAUCCCAUAAUUUAACACAUCAUUCAUGUAUUUAAAUACUACAAAAUAGUCUAUUACAAAAUCAGAUUACGUCCUCUUCUUGGUUUUUUUACGCCUAUAGAAUAUAGAUCACUGGCACAGGCUCAGGUUCACUUCAGCUUCAGGCUUAGUAGUAAAAGGUCAUGAUUGAUGACUCCUAGUGGAUGGCCCCGGGUGAUCAGUUGCUUCAACGGCCCAAAUGAAGUCUUCUUCAUUGUAAACGAAUUCAUUGCAUGCCUCGGGUAUACUGGUCACCCACUAACUUUUGUGGUUGAAUUCAUCAACACGGAUGACGUCAUAUUUCUUUGAACCACUUUCAAUGAAUAGUUGAUUUGUUUUGAACCUCUCUGCCAUCUUCAUAUUGAAGUUGGUGUAAACAAGAUUAUCGAACUACACCAAGGCUAUUUCGACUUUUUUUGUGUAACUGCAAAUAAAAAUUACAAUUAAAAUUCUACAAACUAAAAGUCAUACGACUAAAAUUAAGUAUUCAAAACAGCUUACAUGUGUAAAGUUACUCCAAUUUCUUUCACAACUAGAGGCGGAACAACAUAAACCAAAGAUUCUCAUGGAAAUUGUCUUCAAUUCGGGGGGUUUGCGGCCAAACAAACCCCACCAUUCCAAUGGUUCUAGUGUAGCAGCCAUCCCCUUUGCUUCUUCAGCUCCAAAUCUUCCCAAUCUGUUCUUAUACAAGAACAUGUCGGCAAGUACCUUCAUCUUCAAUUGGAUAUCAUCGACAAUAAUAUUGUCAAGGACAUCUGCAAAAGCCUCCUCAUAUUCAUUGCAUUCAACCGAACUCAAGCGUACCAAACUAAGUUAUGCUAUGUUAACCGAACUCAUUUGCAUGCCUAGUUGUACAUAUGUGGUGUACCAUGUACAUAACUAUUCAGAAACAUAUGUACAUGAGCAUAACUAUCUAGAAACCAAUUAGUUAUUUAAACUCAAUGUACAUAUCUAUCCAAAAUAUUAUGCUAUUUAUAAACUACAAACAUAAAAAUCACAUAAAUAGCUAUUUUAAGCAUAAUAGAGCAAAAAAAUCUUUUAAGAUCUAACCACACAUACCUUGAGAAUUUUCAUGGACAAAACCACGCUCCCAUAGAACAGUUAGCCAAUUAAGCAUUCCAUUUACAGUUUCCAUCUGAAUUUCAUAGCCAUACCUGCCAACUGGAUCGAUAUUGUUUUUGCAUGGCCCAGACUGAAAUAAUAGACGUACCUGCACAAAAAAACAAAUGUAUAUGUUAAAACUUAAAAGUUCCAACAUGAAUCGUAAUGAUUUGGAAAAAGAUAAAAUUCUAUCGAAAUUAUAGAGGAAUCCAAGCUCAGAUUAGGAAUAUAAACUGGAAGCCUUUCGUCCUUAUCUUUAUAUAUCUUUACCAACAACAUCAAGGAGUUGUUGUCUCAAGAAUUUUUUUAAACAAAAUAAAGAGUAGAAAAUGUUUGUCUCAAGAAAUUGGACUGACAAGAAGCCAAGAAGUGGCAAAAUAUUAACUUGUCACAAAAUAUGUUGCAUGUGAAGUACAAAUCACAGAUUUGUUUAAAAAGUUAGUCUCUAAAACAGUGCUUGAGAUUUGAGAAUUAGAGGUGGCAAUAACAGACACGAUUCGUAAAAAAUACGACACGACACGAUUUUAACACGACACGUUCAUAAUAGUGUCGGAUUAGUGUCGAAAGUUUUUACACGAUUAAUAAUAGUGUCGGUUUAGUGUUUGCCUCUAAAAACACGACAUGAUUACACGAAACGUAAAUUGACACGACACGAUACGAUUAUAUGACACGAUAACACGAAAAUAUAAUAUUAUUAAUUAACUAUGUUUAUCGUUUAUAUAAUAGAGGUAAAAUAAUAUUUUUAAAUAAAACCCCUUAAGUUUUAUAUAAAAUAUUUUACCCAUAAAAUAAUAAGGGUAAUAUUAUACGGGGUAAAAUAAUAACUAUAUAAUAAUGAUAAAAUAAUAAAAUGUACCAUAGAUAAUUAUUAUUAUUAAAAUAAUAAAAUAAUUAUUAACAAUAAAAUAAUAGUGUCGUGUUCGUGUCAUGUCAGUCGUGUCGUGUCAUGUUGACACGGAUUCGGUCGUGUCGUGUCCGGGUCAAAUUUUUUUGACACGGAUCGUGUUUUGUGUUCUUGUCAAUGAAAAAAUUAGUCAUGUCAAUCGUGUUCGUGUCGUGUUACACGAAUUGCCAGGCCUAUUGAAAAUAUACUCAUUACCCAAAUGUCCCUCACUAGUCACUUCAACUCCCCAAGUUACAUAUAUGACAAACUUUAAAAUUUAAACAUAAUUAGUUAUGCAUGUUACAAGUUUAGUCAGGAAGUUUAUUUUGAUAUUAAAUUUCUGUUAGUUAUAUGUAACUAUUACUAUUAACCUAGUUCUCUCUUUCAACUGCAAUUCAAUAGAUUUAAAGAUCAUUCCUUUUUUUAAUUAGUAAAUAUUUAUUGAACAUGGGGAUUGAACCCCAACAUCUUGUGUCAUACAAGAAGGUCUGGCCGUAAUUUACUUUCAAGGCCGAGGAUUUUUUUCAUGUAGACAAUAGGCAUAAGAUAGUGUUCAUACAUUGUUUUAAAAUAAUAAAUAAAUAAAAUAUAUUUAAUUGAUUCAUAUUCAUGCAGAAGAAAGAGAGAGAAAUUUACUACAUCAAAUGAUUGAUCCUAAUUGAAAAUAAUGGUGGUAAAGAAGAAGAAAAAUAAAAGAGGUAGACAAUGCAGGUAAGGUCAAAAUGUCAAAAAUUUAAAAGAGUUAAAAGUCACAAUUAAAGAGGAUGGAGAUUGAAUCAUGGAUGUUUUGACUUCUUUCUAAUUUCUAUUAUAGCUCCCUCCCAAUUUCUUUCCAUCUGUUAUUUUUAUUUGAAAUAUAUUUCGAUUUUUUUGAUAGAAUAAAGAUGUCAUUAAAAAAAAUAUUUGGAAAAACAUUUAACAUGAGUGAUAAUGCUAACCUGGUUAGUCCAUGCUGCCUCAACUAAGUGUGUUCCAUACUCUUCAAGCAUUUCAUACAAAAGAAUGAAUGCUUUCCAUCUUUGUAGCCCAUUCCAAUGAUCAGAAAAGUUGUCAAUUUCACCUACAUCUAAUGGCUUGGACUCCUCCUUGGCCCAUUUUCCUUGUCUUGUUUCACCAAACACGUUCUUAGAAGUGAUGUCAACAAUACCAUUAUAAACAAAACUACUGGUACGAAAUUGGCUUGUUUCACGAUCAUGAAGGAUGCCUUCAUUCCUUAAACACAAUUUUACGAUAUGUAACGACAACUUUCUUACCAUUGCAUCAUUAUCAACCUAUACAAAACAAGAAAGAACAAAUAUAUAUUAGCCAUAUAAUACAUGCAAAAUAUUGGAUGAGAAAAAAUUAAUAUUAAAACUGCAGGCAAGUACCAAGCCUUUUCGAAUUUCCUCCCAAAAAAAAUCUUCGGAUCUUAUAUCAAACAUUUCAUCAGUUAGGUCUCGAUUUUCUUUGGCAUCAAUGGAAGAGUUCAAACAUAAGGAAAGUAUGGUGUAUGCAUCAUGUCGUUCAAGUGACCCAAGUGCAAACAGAGACGAACAACAUUUCCAAAUUUUCCUUGAGAAAGAAGACCUACAUAACAAAUCUAAAUGAGCCAGAAUGCCUUUAAGAAGGUUACUCAAAAUAAAACAUAGCCUAAUUGUUCAAAAUUACCAGGAAAGAGCAUAAAAAGACCCCAAUACUUGUACAUUAAAAUUGUAGAUAUAAGUGAGUGCCUUAAAUAUAGCCGGUAGAAGGUAACGAAUAGCACACGAUCGAUGCUCUGUGCACUGAGAAAGCAUAUGGAUGACCAAGCAAGAGAGAUCCCAAAUCAACUUCAAUGAAAAUCCAAUGUCAUCGUUACCAUUCACUUUCCAACUAGAAUUUGCUUGCAAAGAAGUAUCAAGUAGUGAAACUAAGAUGUGACAAGCAACAGGCAAUGGUACUGAGAUAGAAUCAUCCAACUCAUAUUCCCGAUAGCAUAUAGGUGAUUCCCUCUUCCAAUGAAAGACAAAAUCUUCUUCACUUUGAGUCAUGCCGAUAUAAAUACCGAUAGACCUCAGACAAAACAACACAAGUGUUUCCUCCAUGAGUUUCCAAGACUUUCUAUGCAAAAUAGCUUCACGCAUCAUUUCUUCAAUCUAUGAUGUCGGUAUAUUAGAAAUAAACCCAUGAUAGAAGAAGAUGAAAAAAAAAUCUAACAAAAAAUACACGAUUAUUCUCUUUAUUUCUCACUUGUGUUAGCAAUUCUUUGUCAUCUACACUUGACAUCUUAAAGAUUGGUAUCAACCCUUUCCAGAUCAAUAGUGAUAGCAUAUCACUUCCUGUUUCUAAUUCAUAAAAAGAACAGGAAAAAUCAAAUAAACACCAGAUAAUGCAAAAACACAGUCCUGGUUAUAAAUUACCCCAAUCUCACCAGUGAUCCUCUUGACGAGGUGAAACAGAGCGGCGACAAAUGAGACAAUUUUCAUCGGCUGACUUGAAUCCGAAUUCCACCCAUCCUAAUCCAUCAAAAAGAAGGAAAAGAUAAUAUAUCAAUAAAAGAACUUUUUUAUAGUGUAAAUUGGAAUAUAAAAAAACUUGUCAAGUCAUGUUGAGUAAGUCACCUGCAGGAUGCACGGAAGAAUGUCUAGAAGCUGUGAAAAGAGCUGAGAAGCGGAUAGUGUGGUAGAAGAUGCCAAUACACAGUCAACAAUAGCUGGAAUCGCCGCCGGUGGGACGAGGGCGAAACUUUUGAUUAAGGAAUCGACGUAAACAGAAGCCAUGACAGAAUACGAAGAGGAAAUGGCGGCAAAAAAGUGGAGGAAAUGGCACAAUAAACCCUAAUCAAUAAUUUUACACUAGGAUCCGAGGUUUUUGACUUUUUGCACUUUAUUUUCUUUUUUCAACAAAUGAAAUUUUCAUUAUUAAAAAUUAAUAAAUAUAAAAUAAAUUUCAUGGAAACCCUUCAGCCUAAAACGCUCAUAAAAUAUUGAUCUCGCAUUUAAAAAAAAAUAGUAGACUUUGGGAUUAGCGUAAGAUUGAGAGAGAGAAAUCAGAUAAAAUAGAUGGACGAUCAGGAUUUCAUGAAAAAUUUUGGACUUACCUAAGACGGGUUCAUCUGAAAAUUAUUUUACAAAUAUAAACAUGCAAACAAAUCUAAAUCUAAAUAUGUGAUUAAUUAUAAAUCUUUUCGAAUAGUAGCUUGGUGGAUAGGCUAAAGGAGAACGAUGCUGUUAAGAAAAAGAAGAUGGUGAUGGUGAUGAUACUUUAUUGUUAAUACUCAUAUGUUUAUAUACUACUUUACAAACUCAAUUAGCUUAACUAAUUAGUUGUUAGUUAAGUAACUAACUCUCUUUAUUCAUACUAACAACACGCCCCCAUCAAACCUGUCGGAAGUGCUCGAACGAGGUUGAUUCGUAGAUUCUCAAAUGGUCCUGAUUUGAGUGCCUUGAUGAGUAUGUCGGCUUUCUCCUUUCUCUGUCUUUUAACGAAUGAAAUGCAGGUCCAUUGCGACGUGACGAAGUUUGGUAUGGCAGAUCGGAUUGUUUGCCACAAAUGUCGCUCCCUGAUUGUCACUUCGGACCUUCAUUGGCAUUGGAACAAUUACUCGUAGUUCUGUCAGAAGAACACGAAUCGAUUCUAGUUCUUCUAUCAUGGUCGCGAUCGCCCGGUACUCUGCGUCUGUGCUCGAUCGUGCGACUGUGUUCUGCUUGCGGGAUGACCAUGUUACCAAUGUGUCACCCAAGUAUGCUAAUAUUCCCGUUUGGCUUUUUCUAUCCACCGUAUUCCCUCCCCAAUCCGAAUCGCAAAACCCGGUUAGCUUGAAAUUUGUGACCAUGUUUAAUGUCAUGGAUUAGGUUCCGACGAGAUAACGUAGUACUUUCUUCAUUAUCGUCCAGUGAACUGGCUUAGGUGAGCUCAUCAAUUGGGCUAAUUUAUUCACCGCGUAUUGGAUGACACGUCAAAAUCAGAUAUUGAAGGGACCCUAUGACUCGCCGAUAUUCCUUAGCCUCUGUAAUUGGUUUUUCUUCUGAAAACAAAUCUUGUUGAACUAUCAUUGACAUAGUUAAAGGUUUUAGAUUUGUUAGAUUGCAACUUCCCAGUAGGUUUAUUAAGUAUUGUUGUUGAGAUAAGAAUAAAGAUUCACUGCUCUGUAUGCCCAAAAAAUAUAAUAAUUCCCCAAGUUCUUUAAUGACAAACUUUUGCCUUAAUUUUCCGAUUACUUCCUUCACCUUCUUCUCCGUCGAACCUGUUAUUACUAUUUCGUCGACGUAGGCGAAUAAAAAUACCGUGCUUUCUUUCUCAAAUAGCAAAAAUAGUGAUGGGUCGGAGUAACUCUCCUUGAACCCAAUCCCUAUUAGAAAAUCCUUCAACCGCCGAUACCACAUUCGAGGAGACUAUUUUAAACCGCAAAGAGAUUUUUGAAACAAGCAAACCUGAUUUAGAUGUUGGGGAUCCUCGAAUCCGACGGGUUGAGUCACCACUAUACGUUCAUCAAGUUUUCCGUGGAGAAAUGUGUUGGACACGUUUAUCUUAUUAACCAAUCGAUGAUUGAUUGGAGAUAAUCGGAGACUGAGAUCGAUGAAUUGAAUGAUCUGUAUUUCAAGUGAUGAUAAUGUUGAUUUACAUUGUAUAUUUAUAAUAUUGUAUAUAGUUGUUAUCUAACUAAUAACAACUAGUAGUAGGAUAGUUUAUUAUCUAACUAAUAACAAUUAGUAGUGGGUUGUUAUCUAAACGGAUUCUGUCUAAUCCGUAACACCCUCCUCAAGUGGAGCAGGAGUUCUGUCGAGCACUUGGAUGCAAAAGCUUCAAAUGCAGGUCUUGGAAUUAGAUUAGGCAUGCGCCUUAGUCAGAAGGUCUGCAAUUUGAUCCUGUGUACCCACAAAUCUUACUUCCAAUGUUUUCUCCAUUACUCAUUCCCUUACAAAAUGGUAGUUCAUAUCGAAGUGUUUGGAUCUCAUAUGGUGACUGAGAUUUCUGGAAAUUGCAAUUGCCCCAGAGUUAUCGCACCAUACUGUAAUCGGGAGAGACACCGGACUUUCCAACUCAAACAAUAGUUGUUUAAUCCAUUCCAGUUCAGCAACAGUAUCUGCCACACUCCGAUAUUCAGCCUCGAUAGUUGAUCUGAUCGACCAUCGACGAUUGCUUCUUGGAGCUCCACGAAAUCAGAUUCGAACCUAAGUAGAUUAGGUAUGCUCCUUGGCUACGACUAUCCCGAUAGUCUCCCUCCAGUCUGCGUCAGAGAUUGCGGUGAGAGUCGAUAGGCUUGACCUUAAUUGAAAACCGUAAUCUUCAGAAUAACGCUCUAGACACAAAACGUAAAAUACGUUUUACUACUUGCCAGUGUAUCACCGUUGGUUCUUGCAUAAAUUGUGAGGUAUUGAAGUGCACCGACAACUUGUCUGAAUAAUAUAGGUGAUUCAAAAUGUGUCGCAGGUUCAUACAUUUUCAAUCGAGGAUCCAUGGGUGUGGUUGUUGGCUUGACGUCUGAUAGGUCAACCUUUUUUAAGAAUCGAGUGGACGUAUUGAUGUUGUGUUAAAAAUAAGGAACCAUCUUUGGCGCGAUCAGUGUCAAUGCAUAAAAAUGAUGUAAAUCACCGAGGAUUUUAAUCGAAAAUAUCUUUGUUAAGCGAUCAAUUAUUUUCUGAGCAAACUCAUCUGAAGAACUUGCCAGAAUUAUAUCGUCAACGUAGACGAGAAAUAAAGCUUCAAUUCUGUCUUCCUUGUAAAUAAAAAGCGAGUGAUCACUUUUGCUUUCUGUAAAUCCCAGUUGAAUCAUAACAUCUCAGAACCGUUGAAACCACGCCCUCGGAGAUUGUUUUAGUCCGUCACUACAAGAAAACUGGGCUACGCCCACGGGAUUAGCCACGGCCAGUAGAAGCCGUGGCUAAUUUUUUAACAUUAGCCAUUAAAUUAUGCCGUGGCUAAUUUUUUAACAUUAGCCACGGAAUAUAGCCGUGGCUAAAAUAAAUGGCCUUGGCUAAUAUUUAGCCACGGAAAUGGUUUUCCGUGACCAAAAAUCAGUAGCCACCAGACCUACAGCCACGGCACCUCCCGUGGCUAAUUCCCGUGGCUAAAUCAAUUUAGCCACGGAUUUUGCCAUUUAGCCAGUAAACUUGGCCGUGGCUGUUUCCUGUUUUCUUGUAGUGCGUAGAUGGACUUUUUCAAUCGACAAAUAUGUGUGAGAAGUUCUUGAUUUACAAACCCCUUCGGUUGCUUCAUUAAUACCUGUUCAGAAAGAACGCCAUGGAGAAAAGCGUUCGUGACGUCUAAUUGUACAAUUUUCCAACCUUUAGACACAGCUUGAGCAAGGUGCAAUCCUUACAGUUACAGGCUUCACCACAGGUGUAAAAGUCUCACCGUAAUCAACCCCAUUUCUUUGUCGAUAUCCGUUUGCUACAAGACGCGCUUUUCGUCGAACGAGUUUUUCAUCAGGGCCUAGCUUGUUUCGGAAGAUCCAUUUACAUGAGAGAACAUUUUGAUCAGGGGACCUUGCAACUAGUUCCCACGUUUCAUUUUCCAUUAAGGCGUCAUAUUCAUCUUUCAUGGCUGCUGACCAAUGUUGGUCUUCUAGAGCUUUAAUCGCACAUGAGGGAAUAGAUGGAGGAGAGGAGACUUGACAGACAUAUUUUGGAUUCGGCUUUCGAAUUCCGAUUUGGGACCUUGUGAGCAUAUCAUGUCGACGAAGAUUGGGAACCUUGUUCGAGCCAUCUAUGUCAAGCAGUUCUCCUGUGGCUGCCGUGUCGAUGACCUGAGUCGGCGGUGCAUCAUGUUGAGGAGUAUUAGGAAUAUUUUCCUCGAUGAUGGAUGGAGCACUUGUGAACUCUGACUUGAUUAUUAUUAAUUUUUGACUUUGAUUAAAAUUAUCUUCAAAAAAAUACACAAUCACGUAAAAUAAUAAUUUUUUCAGAUUUUGGAUUAUAAUAAAUAUACCCUCAGUGGUGUGAUGGAUAUCCGAGAAAAAUAUAGGGAUCCGUUCGAAAAGAAAAAUUAUUCUUCAGGAUCGGUCUCAAAUUAGGGUAGACGAGAAAACCGAAUACCCGAAUAUCUUCGUAAUUUGGGGACGAGUUGAACAUUACUUCAAACGGUGAUUUUCCGACGAGCGUAGAUGUCGGCGUUCUAUUAUAAAAAAACGCAACAGUGUGAAACGCGUACUGCCAGAACCGGAGAGGGAGAACACUGUGAUGCAGAAGUACGAGUCCAAUGUCAACUAUGUGCCUGUGCCGUCGCUCGACUGUACCCAUCUGAGCGUGGGCAUAUGGGCAGGAGAAUCGGUGUUUGAUUCCUGCUUCAGUAAUACAGGACUUGCUUCGAGAAGAUCCAGCCAAGAAUUAUUUGAUCUUGUUGAAUUUUGAUGUCGUUGUCUAAAAUGAUCAAGCCUUCAAUGUAUGGGAGAAGGUCAUACCCGCGUAGCAGCGUCUUGACCUGCGCUUGCCAAUUGAAGAAGUUGUCGCUAGUAAAUUUUUCGGUGCUUAGUUGCUUGAUCUUUACUAGCUUGACCUGCCGUAGGGUGCUGUUGGUGGAAUCGGUUGCCAUCACUGAUCAUUGGAGCAAGAACCUUGGAGGAAGAAGAGCUGAAAAUGAUCAACGACUCAAGCGACCCAAGAUCGGAGAGUCGAUCCAGCGUCUGAUACCAUAUUAACCAAUCAAUCAUUGAUUGGAGAUGUAAUAACCAGUGAUUUUGGGUAACCGGUUAUUAAUUGUAGGUAACCCGAUUAAGGGUAAAAACGUAAAAACAAUAGGAAUAUAAAAAUAAAAUGAUAGAAAGGAAAGAGGGAAAAACGGAAAGGGAACACGGAAGGAGGAAGGCGGCUAGGAGAAAGGGAGGACGGCUAGGGCAUCGUGGAUGGGAUCAGUAAGGGAGCACCUGUGUCGUGGUGUGGUAGGUGUGAGGUUCGACUAGCAACGGAGGAGGUAUGUAGAGUGUGAAAUUGUUAAAAAGAGAUGUUCAUGGGAAAUGGGAACGAAAGGGAAGAGGGUGAGUGAAGGGAAGAUGGAACGAGUUCAAUCGGAAUGGGUUCAAUCUGGACGAACUCGUCCAUCCUCAACCUUGCCUUCACAUAAACAGGGAUCCUAUGUUUUGGACUCCUGAUCUACGUUUUGGACGAAUCCCUGAAAUUAUUUAUAUUAUUUUUUAAUUAAAUCUGAUUGAUCCUGAUCUAUGUGUUGGAGGAACUCCUGAAAAUAAUUAUAUUAUUGAUUUUGAUUUAUGUUUUGGCUUAUGGACUUUUAAAUUACAUUAUACUGAUUCACAAAUCACAAUGAUAGAUAGAUAUCAAAUCGAUUCUUCCCUAUCGUUUAUGAGGAUAAAUAGGGUGAUUCUUAUGGUUAUGAUAUUAAAUUGAAUUGAUUUAUGGUUAGUAAUAUUAAAUCAUCAGAUUCUUAUGCUAGAUCUGACGAUUCUUAUGUUUAUGAUGUUAGAUCUAAGGAUUAUUUAAUUGAUUUUUAUGUUAAAUUUAAUGAUCCUUAGCGCUGAUGAUAGAUAUCACCUUCACUGAUCUUGAAGUGUAUUGCCUUAUGAGUUGUUAAAGUCAGUGAUAUUGAUUGCAUGAUAACCUAUGAUGAUUGAAGACUGUUUUACUUAACUGAAGGUAUUGCUGAUUUAUAGAUGAUAAUAUGAUCAGGGAAGGGGUUACGUAUUUGGUUGCAUGAUAACCUAUGAUGACUGAAAACUGCUUUACUUAACUGAAUAUAUUGCUGAUUUAUAAAUGAUAAUAUGAUUAGAGGAGGGAAUACAUAUUUGAUUGCAUAACAAUCUAUGAUGACAAAAACUGAUUGAAUUAAUUUGUUAAUAAGUUGAAUAUGCUAAUAGUUUGAAACAAUUAUGUGAUUGUGAUGCUAAUUCGAAGUAGUGCUAUGACUGAACUUGUUUUGCUUAAUUGAGUGUAUUGUUAAUUUAAAAAUGAUAAUAUAAGGGAGGGAUUACAUGAAUGUGAGGAGACAAGGGUAGAAAUGCAUGUGUAAACGAGUUAAGGAUUGAAUAAAUGAAUAAAUGGAUGAGUGAGUGCAUGAAUGAACGAACGAAUGAACGGAUGAACGAACGGAUGAACGAAUGAAGAAAUGAAUGAAUGCAUGAGUGACAUAUGACCGAGGUGUUUUGACGCCUAACCAAAGGUGAAUGAUGACCCAUAAGGGUCUUAUGAAUGAUGAGUGAUUGAUGAACUAGAUUAAGGGUUUACUUGCUUGUUUAUCAUGUGAAUCCUUACUGAUUGUAGAGUUAAAUGGCUUGAUUAUUUAAGACAUGUUGGUAUGGAUGUUUUACAUACUGAGUGAUGAAAUCACUCACGGAUAUAUACAAUAUUGCAGGGAAUGGAGACAGUCUUGCCUAACUGGAAUGGUAGGAAACAAAGGACUCGUCGAGACGACGAGACUCACUUGCGUAAAACAUAAACUCUUAUAGUCAUUGUUAUUCAUUUUGGGAUUGUAAUAAACAUUAUCUUAAAGUUCUUAAAGGCUGAAUCUUUUAGAAUAUUUGUUAUAUUCAAAUUCUGUUAGGAGAACUUGAUAUUAUAAGUCAUUUGAGUGUAUUAAAACUCUGUGUGGAGAACAGAGUUUUACAGAAGAUGAUGGGAGACUGAGAUCAAUGAAUUGAAUGAUCUGUAUUUCAAGUGAUGAUAAUGUUGAUUUACAUUGUAUAUUUAUAAUAUUGUAUAUAGUUGUUAUCUAACUAAUAACAAUUAGUAGUAGG